Molecule: long non-coding RNA, 81855 nt
Filed under: Triticum aestivum (bread wheat)
Lineage: Eukaryota; Viridiplantae; Streptophyta; Magnoliopsida; Poales; Poaceae
Description: long non-coding RNA (TAES_LNC018348)
Source: RNAcentral
UUAAUAACAGCUGCCCUAGUGACAUGCCUUGAACACUGUUUCCAAACCGCAACUAGCUGUAUUGAUGGCAUUAUUAAUGUUUCUGAACAGAUCACACACCGGAGACCAUGACCUAUGGCUCAGCUGCCAGUGGGAAACAGAAUGACCAGAAGGCCAACACUGUAUCACUAGCCCCGUUUGGACUCGCAGCAAACAAGAUACAGGGCUCUCUGUGGACCAACCCCCGGACAGGAGAUCAUAAGAGGAUCGUCUCCCUCUUCGGCGCAGCAGACUCCUGGCUUAAGCAGCUUGGAGUCCGGCACCAUGACUUCAACUACUUCGUCACUCACCCCAUGUGAACUACUAAUUUGCCCCCGCAGACUUGAAAUCGUCGAAACUGCUUACACCACCGACAAGGGGCACAAACCAUCUACCGUGUAUCGCCCUCGUAAAAGUUGAGUCUAACAUUCGUGGGAUAGGUUUAUACGGCUUGAUUGCAGCACAUAACAAAUGUAUCAGGACUUGAAAGGUUUUGUGUUUCUUGGCUGAAGAUGUAACUAAUGUGCACAGAAGUUUUGGUACUAGUCUGAUAUAUCCAGCUCUUGUGGUUGGGUGCAUAUUGUAGCUACCUGCCUCGCCAUGUGUACUCAACUAGCCUAUAUAUGGAGGUUGUGUGCCCAGGAUGAACUGCUUUUGCAGAGUCCUGUUUUCUGGGAAACUGCAGAGACAUCAGAGUCCAGUUGGACCUGAAUCAGUUCAUUUUAUUUAUUUUAUUUUUGCUUUUUUCGAAAAGGAGGUUGAAACCCCCGGCCUACCUGAAUCAGUUGAUGACAACUUCAUUCUCCUUUAAAGCAAUUGUAUCAAAAAGUGAGGUAGUUGCACAACUUGCGCCAAAAGAAACCAUAAAUUCAAUUGCAAUCGAGCGCCCGCAGGCACAAAGUGGAGACACAAAUUCAUUAGUGGCAUCUAUUUAGUUUCUUUCCCUCGAUAUCAUUUUCCUACAAAACUAGUAAGUAAAGGCAUGCUAUUAUCCAGCACAAAAUGUUGACAUAUUGUAUUCUUAUGGCAACACACAGAGCAACGGAGCUAGUAUGUUGUGACAGUUACAUUUCCUUGACAUGUAACCCAAUCUAUAUCUGUACCUACCAAUAAAGCAAGGUGCGUUUCUCCAAUUUUUAAAUCCAUCCAUCCAUAUUAUUUUUCUUAAUUUAUUAUUUUUUUACUAUCCAAGUUGGUACUAUCUGUUUGUGCGACGUUGCAUUAGAUUUUCAUGUACGUGGCUUGACAGGGCCUCCGCAUGGCUUACUUCCCUCGCUCAGUUGGGGUUCUGGCUGGACCUGCAUCCAUGCUCAAAACUGUGUAUGUCACAUACGUAGUAAAAGGCCGUGGCUAAUUGAGCUAUAGCAAUACAUAGAAAUAGGUCCACCUUGCUCAAUUGAACCGCCUCUCAGCUAUUCAUAUGCGUCCCAGGUUAUGUGAGUAUCAACCAACCAGAUUGGAGCAAAGUUGGGACCAGAUGAGAUUGGUUGGCUCGGGGCCGGAGGAGGAUGACGCGUGAGCAAGUAGGCCGGUGGGAUGGGCUUCCUCUCAUCAGCAGGAGAGGAAGGCAGCGGAGGGCAGAGGGGCUCAAGGUUGGUGGGCCUACAUGGGGCGUAGCCGACGCUCGGGACGGUCGGCUCGAUUGCGGGGAGGUUGCUAGCGGGGUGAAGAGCUCCUCGGCCAGAGGCGGCAGGGCCGUGAGGUUGAGGACACCGCAGGCGAAGUCGGCGCUCGGGAUGGCUGGCUCGGUAGGGGAGGUUGUUGGCGGGGCGAAGAGCUCGCCGACCAGAGCGGCGGCAGGGCCGUGAGGCUGGGGAGGCGCGAAGAGCGCGGUCUCCUGUGCUGCUUGCUAUGUCAUUUAGAGGAUGCUAGCUGGGCGCCGGUUUGGGAGGCUUAGGGGGAGAGAGAGAGAGAGAGAGAGAGAGAUUUGGUGCGCCAGCCCAGUCGGUUGCUGAACAAUUUCCAUUUUAAAAACAAAAUAUUCUAAAAAAAAUUUAAAAACAGAAAAUUGCCUCAAUUAUUUUUAAAAAAUCAAAAAAACGGGAAAAGGUGAUUCCACAUAAAAUUGGUUCCACAAAUCUUUCAAAGAUUCGAGAUAUUUGAAUUUGAUUCGAAUAGGUUUGAACUAGAAGUAGGUGAUAGGAAUGUCCAAAUUUUGGUAAAAUGUUUGGUGGAGCUUGGUUAUGUGACAGAAGAAUUAUGUUUGGGGCCAAGAUUUGAGGUAGAAAAGGCAUAUGAUUUUUUGAGAGCUAUGCAUUGGCUUUAUGAAAGUGGACAAGAAUAGAAGUUUUUUUUAUGUCAAAGAAACAAUUGGCAACAUGAAAGUAAUUCAAAAAAAUAGGUCCUUUGUUGUAAGUAAUAGGUUUGGGUUGUUACAACAUCGAAGGGGAGGAGGGCACGGGGCGGCAUUGGCAUCUCGUGAGGAAUAGACGAACAACAUCCCAUGGUUGCCCGACAGCGGCUGUGAUAUAUUCUCUUCUCCCAUUGCAACACACGGGCAUUUUUGCUAGUUCUAUUGAAGCAAAAUAGCGGCAUCAAGAAAAAAACACCAGUUCUGAGAUAUUUUUGAAAAGAAUAAAUGGUGCACUAAAAUUUUGUAGCAAUAAAUAAGGUCGCUACUACGCGUCGGCCGGCGAAUAUUUUUAAAAGAUUCGCCGCCUUGCGAGACGUCAGAUUAGGUGGAGUGAGAAGCCGAGCGUCACCCUCUACAGUUGCAACAAGGGUCGUGUUGCAGUAAUUUUCUGCAACACGGGUCAUGUUGGAGAAAGUUUUGUAAAACAUAGUCAAGUUGCAGAAUAUUUUUGCAACAAGUUGCAGAUUAUUUUUGCAAUAGAGGCCUUGUAACAAGUUUUUAUUGCAACAAAGGUCAUGUUGCAAAUUUUGUUGCAAUAGAGGUCUUGUUACAGUUUUUUUUGCAACAGAGGCCUUGCCACAAUUUAAUUAUUUUUGUAAGGUCCUGUUACAGUUUUUUUUUGCAACAAAGACCUUGUUGCAGAAAAGAGAGAUCGUGGGAGCUAGGUCCACCGCAUCACAUGAGACGCGUGGCGUGCAACCAAGGCGGCAGACGCGAGCGUGAUAAUUCGCCGGCUGAACCAUAUCUUGUCCCAAUAAAUAAAUAUACAGCGUAUAUUUUUUCACCAGUAAAUAUUAGUCUAAAAUUGGUAAGGUGCAAUCUGAUCUUGAUGAGAUUGGAGAAAGAGAACAUUUUUUUGGAGAAGGAUCACAUCUAUUAUUUGAAGGAAAUAUGCCCUAGAGGCAAUAAUAAAGUUGUUAUUUUAUAUUUCCUUAUAUCAUGAUAAAUGUUAGUAUUCAUGCUAGAAUUGUAUUAACCGAAAAUUUGAUACAUGUGUGGAUACAUAGACAAAACACCGUGUCCCUAGUAAGCCUCUACUAGACUAGCUCGUUAAUCAAAGAUGGUUAAGUUUCCUAACCAUAGACAUGUGUUGUCAUUUGAUGAAUGGGAUCACAUCAUUAGGAGAAUGAUGUGAUGGACAAGACCCAUCCGUUAGCUUAGCAUAAUGAUCGUUCAGUUUUAUUGCUAUAGCUUUCUUCAUGUCAUAUACAUAUUCCUUUGACUAUGAGAUUAUGCAACUCCCGGAUACCGGAGGAAUGCCUUGUGUGCUAUCAAAUGUCACAACGUAACUGGGUGAUUAUAAAGAUGUGCUAAAUGUAUCUCUGAAGGUGUUUGUUGGGUUGGCAUAGAUCGAGAUUAGGAUUUGUCACUCCGAGUAUCGGAGAGGUAUCUCUGGGCCCUCUCGGUAAUGCACAUCAUAAUAAGCCUUGCAAACAAUGUGACUAAUGAGUUAGUUGCAGGAUGAUGCAUUAUGGAACGAGUAAAGAGACUGGCCGGUAACGAGAUUGAACUAGGUAUGAAGAUACCAACGAUCGAAUCUCGGGCAAGUAACAUACCGAUGACAAAGGGAAUAACGUAUGUUGUCAUUAUGGUACGACCGAUAAAGAUCUUCGUAGAAUAUGUGGGAGCCAAUAUGAGCAUCCAGGUUCCGCUAUUGGUUAUUGACCGGAGAGGUGUCUCGGUCAUGUCUACAUAGUUCUCGAACCCGUAGGGUCUGCACGCUUAACGUUCGAUGACGAUUUGUAUUAUGAGUUAUGUGUUUUGGUGACCGAAGUUUGUUCGGAGCCCCGGAUGAGAUCACAGACAUGAGGAGGAGUCUCAAAAUGGUCGAGAGGUAAAGAUUGAUACAUUGGACGAUGAUAUUUAGACACCGGAAUGGUUUCAGAAUGGUUCGAGUAUAUUUCAGAGUAUCGAGGGGUUACCGGAACCCUCAGGGAAUUGUUGGGCCUACAAGGGCCAUAGGGGAGAGGGGAGGCAACCCACAAGGGGUGGCCGCGCCCCCUCCCAUGGGGAGUCCUAAUUGGACUAGGGGAGGGGGCGCGCCCCCCUUUCCUUCUCCUCUUCCCUCUCCUUCCCCCUUUUCCCUCUCCGUAAGAAGGAAAAGAGGGGGGGCCGAAUCCUCUAGGAGUGGAGUCCUAGUAGGACUCCCACCCUUGGUGCGCCCCCUCCAGGCCGGCUGCCUCCUCCCCUCCUCCUUUAUGUAUGGGGGCAGGAGGGCACCCCAUAGCACAACAGUUAUUCUCUUAGCCGUGUGCGGUGCCCCCUCCACAGUUUACUCCUCCGGUCAUAACGUCGUAGUGCUUAGGCGAAGCCCUGCGCGGAUCACAUCACCAUCAUCAUCACCACGCCGUCGUGCUGACGAAACUCUCCCUCGACCCUCUGCUGGAUCAAGAGUUUGAGGGACGUUAUCGAGCUGAACGUGUGCUGAACUCGGAGGUGCUGUACGUUCGGUACUAGAUCGGUUGGUUCGUGAAGAUGUCCGACUACAUCAACCGCGUUAACCUAACACUUCCGCUUUCAGUCUACGAGGGUACGUGGACACACUCUCCCCCUCUCAUUGCUAUGUGUCUCCUAGAUAGAUCUUGCGUGAUUGUAGGAAUUUUUUGAAAUUGCAUGCUAUGUUCCCCAACAGUGGCAUCCGAGCCAGGUCUAUGCGUACAUGAUAUGCACGAGUAGAACACAAAGAGUUGUGGGCGAUAAUAGUCAUACUGCUUACCACCAACGUCUUACUUUGAUUCGGCGGUAUUGUUGGAUGAAGUGGCCCGGACCAACCUUACAUGACCACGUUCAUGAGACCGGUUCCACCGACAGACAUGCAACUUGUUUUGCAUAAAGGUGGCUGGCGGGUGUCUGUUUCUCCAACUUUAGUUGAAUCGAGUUUGACCACGACCGGUCCUUGUUGAAGGUUAAAACAACACACUUGACGAAAAAUCGUUGUGGUUUUCAUGCGUAGAUAAGAACGGUUCUUGCUAGAAGCCCAUAACAGCCACGUAAAACUUGCAACAACAAAGUAGAGGACGUCUAACUUGUUUUUGCAGGGCAUGUUGUGAUGUGAUAUGGUCAAGACAUGAUGUGAUAUACGUUAUUGUAUGAGAUGAUCAAGUUUUGUAAAAGUUAUCGGCAAAUGGCAGGAGCCUUAUGGUUGCCGCUUUAUUGUAUGAAAUGCAAUCGCCAUGUAAUUGCUUUACUUUAUCACUAUGCAGUAGCGAUAGUUGUAGAAGCAAUAGUUGGCGAGACGACAACGACGCUACGAUGGAGAUCAAGGUGUCAAGCCGAUGACGAUGGAGAUCAUGACGGUGCUUUGAAGAUGGAGAUCAAAGGCACAAGAUGAUGAUGGCCAUAUUAUGUCACAUAUUUUGAUUGCAUGUGAUGUUUAUCUUUUAUGCAUCUUAUUUUGCUUAGUACGGCAGUAGCAUUAUAAGAUGAUCCCUUACUAAAAUUUCAAGGUAUAAGUCUUCUCCCUGAGUAUGCACCGUUGCGAAAGUUCGUCGUGCUGAGACACCACGUGAUGAUCGGGUGUGAUAGGCUCUACGUUCACAUACAACGGGUGCAAGACAGUUUUGCACAUGCGGAAUACUCGGGUUAAACUUGACGAGCCUAGAAUGUAUAGACAUGGCCUCGGAACACUAGAGACCGAAAGGUCGAACGUGAAUCAUAUAGUAGAUAUAAUCAACAUAGAGAUGUUCACCAUUGAAGACUACUCCAUCUCACGUGAUGAUCGGACAUGGUUUAGUUGAUUUGGAUCACGUGAUCAUUCAGAUGACUCGAGGGAUGUCUAUCUAAGUGGGAGUUCUUAAGUAAUAUGAUUAAUUGAACUUAAUUUAUCAUGAACUUAGUCCUGAUAGUAUUUGCAUAUCUAUGUUGUAGAUCAAUAGCUCGCGUAUAGCUCCCCUGUUUUAUUUUUGAUAUGUUCCUAGAGAAAACUAAGUUGCAAGAUGAUAGUAGCAAUGAUGUGGGCUGGGUCCGUGAUCUGAGGAUUAUCCUCGUUGCUGCACAGAAGAAUUAUGUCCUUAAUGCACCGCUAGGUGAGAGACCUAUUGCAGGAGCAGAUGCAGACAUUAUGAACGUUUGACAAGCUCGGUAUGAUGACUACUUGAUAGUUUAGUGCACCAUGCUUUAUGGCUUAGAACAGGGACUUCAAAACGUUUUGAACGCCACGGAGCAUAUAAGAUGUUCCAAGAGUUGAAAUUGGUAUUUCAGACUCAUGCCCGUGUCGAGAGGUAUGAGACCUCUGACAAAUACUUUUCCUACAAGAUGGAGGAGAAUAGCUCAGCUAGUGAGCAUGUGCUCAGAAUGUCUGGGUACUACAAUCACUUGAAUCAAGUGGGAGUUAAUCUUCCAGAUAAGAUAGUGAUUAACAGAGUUCUCUAGUCACUAUCACCAAGUUACUAGGACUUCGUGAUGAACUAUAAUAUGCAAGGGAUGACGAAAAUGAUUCCCAAGCUCUUUGCGAUGCUGAAAUCGGCGAAGGUAGAAAUCAAGAAAGAGCAUCAAGUGUUGAUGGUUGACAAGACCACUAGUUUCAAGUAAAAGGGUAAGGGAAAGAAAGGGAACUUUGAGAAGAAUGGCAAGCAAGUUGCCACUCCCAUGAAGAAGCCCAAAACUAGACCCAAGCCUGAAACUGAGUGCUUCUACUACAAAGGACAUGGUCACUGGAAGCGGAACUACCCCAAAUACUUGACGGAUAAGAAAGAUGGCAAAGUGAACAAAGGUAUAUAUGAUAGACAUGUUAUUGAUGUGUAAAUUUACUAGUGUUAAUAGCAACCCCUGGGUAUUUGAUACAGGUUCAGUUGCUGAGUUUAGUAACUCAACACGGGAGUUGCAGAAUGAACAGAGACUAGUUAAGAGCGAAGUGACGAUGUGUGUUGGAAGUGAUUCCAAGAUUGAUACGAUCACCAUCGCACACUCCCUCUACCUUCGGGAUUAGUGUUGAACCUAAAAUAAAUGUUAUUUGGUGUUUGCCUUGAGCAUGAAUAUGGUUGGAUCAUGUUUAUUGCAAACCGGUUAUUCAUUUAAGUCAGAGAAUAAUUGUUGUUCUGUUUACAUGAAUAAAACCUUCUGUGGUCAUACACCCAAGGUGAAUGGUAUCUUGAAUCUCGAUCGUAGUGAUACACAUCCUAUAUACCUAAGAGAUUGAUCCCCACUACAUGUAAUUAUCUAAGCAUGCAAGCUAUCCACCUCAGCAAGCUUCCAACUCAGCAAAAUGAGAGUUAUUCGUGGGCCAUGUCAUCCUUUUUUCUGGUGCCACACUCAUGGUGGAGUUUCCCUCAACGCGUGGACUAUAUGAAUUCUGGCCAAUUAACUCCGCACCUAUCGAUUUCUAUCACUAGAUCCUACCGAUUCAACUUCUCCAAUGCAUAAUGUAGCCUUUUUUCCUUUUCAACAAACUGCGUGCUUUCUCUUCCAUACACAUUGAUUCCUGACCUUGUUCGUCUUCUAUAACUCAAGUCGUUCAUCAAUCAUAAAUAGACAACAAGGCGCUGGGGACAGACGAACGGUGGAGUCCCAUCUCUUUUGAGUACGUGCUCAAGCAUCCUCCUUGUUACAACCAAGCAACGUCAUGGUUUAUCUGGUGAGCCGCUGACCCUCGCACACUUUACAUUUGUGUUUGGCACUCCAUGUUUUCUUCCUGCCAAGGUCUGUCCAGCGUAGGCACGCCCACUCUUGUGUCAAAUAGAGGAAGAACCAGUCACAACGCAGCGGAGAGGAAAAACAAGGGUAUGUCUUUGUUCUCCCGGAGUAUGUGCCACCCGCUGGACAGUUGGUUGCAGCCUCCGCUCCGCCGCAGAAACGUACGAGGAGGACGCCACGGUGCGACACAAACUGUAUGACGCGGUCGUCAAAGAGGCCGGCGGCGCCCGAGACGAAGGAGUCGAGCAAGGGACGGCCAGGGCGGAGGACCUACUGUGGCGCAUGGACGAAGCCGAGAACGGCUGACCUUCCCCGCCGUGGCGCCGAUCCUCGACGUGGAAGCUUGCGAGGGAGGGGCAGUGACAGGCGCCCUCUAACUAUCGGCGGUGAUGGAAGGACUGCUCAGUGAGAUGGUGACAAAGGCGCAACAGUGCUUUUGCGCGGGGCUGACCGCAAGAGGUCGGGGACGCCCGGCACGCGCGCCAGGAUCGGCAACCUCACGAGCUAGAGCUGCGCGCGCGUGCAUGCUAUUGUUUUUACAUGUGUGCACGUCGUUCGUUGGUACUAGCAUGCGCGCAUGCAUGCAGGCAAGUAUGAUUAGUUCCUUGCUAAUUAACCUACCUACCUUAGCCAAUGGUUCCUAGAUAAGUGAUACAUGCAUAACUAAUCAGAUUAGCUACAAACCUAAUUGCUCUACGAAUAGUACGUGAAAUUCAUGCCUCCUCUAAUCAGGGAUGUUUGUAUUUCUUUUUAUCCUCAAUUUGUUUAUUGUGUAUUUCCAAAUUUUCCAUUUGCUUAUACUGAACUUUCUCUCUUACUUAAAAAAACAAAUAUUUUCUACUAUUUCUUUUUAAGCUAUUACUAUCAUUGAAUAUAUAAUUUUAGAAACACUACCAUUGAAUAUUUGAACAACAUAAUUUCGUUCAAUUUAACUUUUUAAUUCCCGCAACAACGUGCGGGGUAUCAUCUAGUAUUCAUAAUAUUGUUGCCAAAAAUGCAAAGUUGAUAAUGAUAGUGCAAUAUAUUUGUGGCACUGCCGUUUAAGUCAUAUUAGUGUAAAGCGCAUGAAAAAACUCCAUGCAGAUGGACUUUUGAAAUCACUUGAUUAUGAAUCAUUUGAUACUUGCGGACCAUGCCUCAUGGGCAAGAUGACUAAAACUCCGUUCUCCGGAACAAUGGAGCGAGCCAAUAACUUAUUGGAAAUAAUACAUACCGAUGUAUGCGGUCCGAUGAGUGUUGAGGCUUGUGACGUGUAUCUUUAUUUCCUGACCUUCACAGAUGAUUUGAGCAGAUAUGGGUAUAUCUACUUAAUGAAACACAAGUCUGAAACAUUUGAAAAGUUCAAAGAAUUUCAGAGUGAAGUAGAGAAUCAUCGUAACAAAGAAAUAAAGUUUCUACAAUCUGAUUGCAGAGGCAAAUAUUUGAGUUACGAGUUUGGCCUUCAUUUAAAACAAUGUGGAAUAGUUUCAUAACUCACGCCACCUGAAACACCACAGCGUAAUGGUGUGUCCGAAUGUCGUAACCGUACUUUAUUAGAUAUGGUGCGAUCUAUGAUGUCUCUUACCGAUUUACCACUAUCGUUUUGGGGUUAUGCAUUAGAGACAGCUACAUUCACUCUAAAUAGGGCACCGUCUAAAUCCGUUGAGACGACACCGUAUGAACUAUGGUUUGGCAAGAAACCUAAGCUGUCGUUUCUUAAAGUUUGGGGUUGCCUUAUGUGAAAAAGCUUCAGCCUGAUAAGCUCAAACCCAAAUCGGAGAAGUGCAUCUUCAUAGGAUACCCAAAAGAAACUGUUGGGUACACCUUCUAUCACAGAUUCAAAGGCAAGAUCUUUGUUGCUAAGAAUGGAUCCUUUCUAGAAAAGGAGUUUCUCUCGAAAGAAGUGAGUGGGAGGAAAGUAGAACUUGAUGAGGUAAUUGGACCUUCUCUCGAAUUGGAAAGUAGCUCAUCACAGAAAAUUGUUCCCGUGAUGCCUGCACCAACUAGUGAGGAAGCUAAUGAUAAUGAUCAUGAAACUUCGGAUCAAGUUACUACCGAACCUCGUAGGUCAACCAGAGCACGUUCUGCACCAGAGUGGUACGGUAAUCCUGUUCUGGAAGUCAUGUUACUAGACCAUAACGAACCUACGAACUAUGAGAAAGCGAUGAUGAGCCCAGAUUCCGACAAAUGGCUUGAGGCUAUGAAAUCUGAGAUAGGACCAAUGUAUGAGAAUAAAGUAUGGACUUUGGUUGACUUGCCUGAUGAUCGGCAAGCCAUAGAGAAUAAAUGUAUCUUCAAGAAGAAGACUGACGCUGAUGGUAAUGUUACUCUCUACAAAGCUCGACUUGUUGCGAAAGGUUUUCGACUAGUUCAAGGAGUUGACUAUGAUGAGACUUUCUCACGCGUAGCGAUGCUUAAGUCUGCCCGAAUCAUGUUAGCAAUUGCUGCAUUUUAUGAAAAACUAGCAAAUAGAUGUCAAAACUGCAUUCCUUAAUGGAUUUAUUAAAGAAGAGUUGUAUAUGAUGCAACCAGAAGGUUUUCUCAAUCCUAAAGGUGCUAACAAAGUGUGCAAGCUCCAGCGAUCCAUCUAUGGACCGCUGCAAGCAUCUCGGAGUUGAAAUAUACGCUUUGAUGAGUUGAUCAAAGCAUAUAAUUUUAUACAGACUUGCGGUGAAGCCUGUAUUUACAAGAAAGUGAGUAGGAGCACUAUAGCCUUUCUGAUAAGUAUAUGUGAAUGAUAUAUUGUUAAUCGGAAAUGAUGUAGAAUUUUCUGGAAAGCAUAAAGGAGUGUUUGAUAGGAGUUUUUCAAAGGAAGACUGAUAACCCACAAGUAUAGGGGAUCGCAACAGUUUUCGAGGGUAGAGUAUUCAACCCAAAUUUAUAGAUUCGACACAAGGGGAGCCAAAGAAUAUUUGAAGGUAUUAGCAGCUGAGUUAUCAAUUCAACCACACCUGGAGAUUAAUUAUCUACAACAAGUAAUCAGUAGCAAAGUAAUAUGAUAGUUUUGAUAGUAGUGACGGUAGCAACGAUAACAGUAACAGUGAUAGUAGUAUUUUUGUAGCAAGUGUAACAAUGAUGAUAGCAGUAGUAACUUAGCAGAAACAAUAUAAGAUAAAUUCGUAGGCAUUGGAUUCGUGGCUUGUUGGAUGAUAUUCAUCAUGUGACAGUUAUAACCUAGGGCGAUACGGCACUAGCUCCAGUUCAUCGGUAUAAUGUAGGCAUGUAUUCCAUAAAUAGUCAUACGUGCUUUAUUAAAAUAACUUGCAUGACAUCUUUUGUCCUACCCUCCCGUGGCAGCGGGGUCCAUAUUGGAAACUAAGGGAUAUUAAAGCCUCCUUUUAAUAGAGAAACGGAACAAAGCAUUAACACAUAGUGAAUACAUGAACUCCUCAAACUACGGUCAUCAUCGGGAGUGGGCCCGGUUGUUGUCACUCCGGGGUUGUUGAGGGAGUCCUGGAUUAAGGGGUCCUCGUGCGUCCGGCCUAUAUGACAUGGGCCGGACUGAUGGGCUAUGAAGAUACAAGACAGAAGACCUCUUCCCGUGUCCCGAUGGGACUCUCCUUUGCGUGGAUGGCAAGCUUGGCGUGCAGAUAUGUAGAUUCCGUUCUCUGUAGCCGACUUUGUACAAACUUAGUCCCCUCCGGUGUCUAUAUAAACCGGAGGGUUUAGUCCAUAGGGGCAAUCACAAUCAUACAGGCUAGACAUCUAGGGUUUAGCCAUUACGAUCUCGUGGUAGAUCAACUCUUGUAAUCCUCAUAUUCAUCAAGAUCAAUCAAGCAGGAAGUAGGGUAUUACCUCCAUCAAGAGGGCCCGAACCUGGGUAAACAUUGUGUCCCCCGUCUCCUGUUACCAUCGACCUUAGGCGCACAGUUCGGGACCCCCUACCCGAGAUCCGUCUGUUUUGACACCGACAUUGGUGCUUUCAUUGAGAGUUCCGCUGUGUCGUCAUCGGAAGGUUCGAUGGCUCCAUCCAUCAUCUACAACAACGCUGCCCUAAGGGAGGUUUUUCUCCCCGGCCAGAUCUUCAUAUUCGGCGGCCUCGGACUGCGGGCCAACUCGCUUGGCCAUCUAGAGCAGAUCGACAGCUACGCCCCAGGUCACCAGAUUAGUUUUGGAAAUCUGGACUACGUUGCUGACAUCCGAGGAGAAUUGAUCUUCCAAGUGUUCGCUACCCCAACUUCCGCUCUGGCCUUAGAUCCGGAGCACAUCGCCUGGUCCGAAGACGGGAUUAGUAAGCCCGCCGGACUAUCUGCGGCCGCUACACCUAGUAUGGGAGAGCCGGGGGAAAUAGUGUCGCGGGCAGCCAUCAUGAAGCCGGACUCUGGCCCCGAACACUCGGAGUCAGUAUCGUGUGAGCUCGGCCAAGGAGUCUCCCUCCCGCCGUACUCCAUGGAUUUUCUUCUCCCUGGCAGAACCUCGCCUUUAAGCGAGGCUCUGGACUUGAUGCGAUCCCUCGUCAUUACAGAGGAGCAAUGUUCGAACUACGCCCAGCCCGGACUAGGGGAUGAGAGCAGGGAAUUUUACGUCCCACCCACCACCCAUUUCAUAGCCACUGUCGAGGACUUAACUGACAUGCUCGAUUACGGCUCCAAAGACAUCGACGAUAUGGACGACGAUGCCGGAGAAGAGCAGGCCCAAAACCUGCCUUUUACCGGCCGCUGGAUGGCCACCUCUUCGUAUGACGUGUACAUGGUGGAUACACCCAAAAAGGGUAACGACGAUGACAAAGAGGAUCUAGUUGAGGAUGAACCUCCUGAGAUACAACCAAAGCGCCAACGUCAGCGGCGCCGCUCUAAAUCACGCCGCGGAAAAGACAGCAACGCCGGCACAUGAGAUGACAACACUCCGGACGGUGCCGAAGACAAAGAAGACCCCGUCGAGCCAACUUUCGAACGGGACGAUCGGGAAGAUGGGCAGGUUAGCCCUGACGAACAGGCCAUAAACAAAGACUCGGAGGAUAGCAACUAUCUUCCACUCUCCGAGGAUGAGGUGAGCCUCGACAAUGAGGACUUUAUUGUGCCUGAGGAACCCCUCAAGCUGGAGCGCUUUAAGUACCGGCUAAUUGCCACUGCAAGGAGCCUGAAAAAGAAGCAGCAGCUGCUGCUGCAAGCUGAUCAAGAUCUGCUCAACGAUAGGUGGACUAAUGUCCUGGCAGCCGAGGAAUAUGGCCUCGAGCGCCCAACCAAAAGUUACCCGAAGCGCAGAUUACUACCUCAAUUCAACGACGAGGCCCUUGAGGCCAUACCAUCAGCACGUAAUGCGGCUGACCGACCACCACGUGGCUGGGACAAAACGACAACUCAAGCCAAACACCAGCCCAUACCACCUCGCUGUAAAGGUAGACAUACAACAGCUCGGGGAUAUACAUAUGACCUGCGUCAGGACCUGGACAGUAGAGCAGGCCAGACCAGAUCGAUCUACGGAUCGCGAGGGCGUGCCCCAACGCACGACGACGGUUAUCUAGCCGGACGUGACAAGUAUAAUCACGUCCGGGCCAAAAACCGGAGACGGACUCCAUCCGAGCUGCGUCGCGACUUGGCCCGAUAUAGAGGCGCCACACACCCCCUCUGCUUCACUGAUGAGUAAUGGAGCACGAAUUCCUAGAAGGGUUUAAACCCGUGAAUAUCGAAUCGUAUGAUGGAACAACAUAUCCCGUGGUAUGGAUCGAGGACUUUCUUCUCCAAAUCCACAUGGCCCGCGGUGAUGAUCUUCAUGCCAUCAAAUACCUCCCGCUCAAACUCAAGCGACCAGCUCGGCACUGGUUGAACAACUUGCCUGAAAACUCAAUUGGCAGCUGGGAGGACUUGGAAGACGCCUUCCGCGACAACUUCUAGGGUACAUACGCCCGACCUCCGGAUGCCGAUGACUUAAGUCACAUAGUUCAACAGCCCGGAGAGUCAGCCAGGAAAUUCUGGACUAGGUUCUUAACUAAAAAGAACUAGAUCGUCGACUGUCCGGAUGCCGAAGCCCUAGCUGCCUUUAAGCACAGCAUCCGCGACGAAUGGCUCGCCCGACACCUCGGCCAGGAAAAGCCGAAAUCCAUGGCAGCCCUCACGGCACUCAUGACCUGCUUUUGCGCGGGCGAAGAUAGCUGGCUAGCCCGUAGCAAUAAUAAUUCAAGCGAACCUGGCACCUCUGAAGCCAGAAAUAGCAACGGCAAGCCCCGACGCAGCAGGCACAAGCGUCGAAACAACGGUGACAAUACCAAUGACACGGCGGUCAACGCCGGAUUCAGUGGCUCCAAGUCCGGCCAGCGGAAGAAGCCAUUUAAAAGGAACAAUCCGGGCUCAUCCAUCUUGGACCGCAUACUCGAUCGUCCAUGUCAAAUACACGGCACCCCCGAUAAGCCAGCCAAUCAUACCAACAGAAGCUGUUGGGUCUUUAAGCAGGCCGGCAAGUUAAAUGCCGAGAACAAAGAGAAGGGGUCAUAGAGUGAGGAGGACGACGAGGAGCCCCGUCAACCGAACACAGGGGGACAGAAGAAGUUUCCCCCAGGUUAAAACGGUGAACAUGAUAUACAUUACCCAUAUCCCCAAGAGGGAGUGCAAACGUGCUCUCAGGUACGUCUACACGAUAGAGCCGGUCGCCCCAAAGUUCAAUCUAUGGUCGUCCUAUCCGAUCACCUUUGAUCGCAGGGACCAUCCGACCAGUAUCCGUCAUGGCGGUUCAGCCGCACUGGUCCUCGACCCAAUCAUUGAUGGAUUCCACCUCACGCGCGUCCUCAUGGACGGUGUCGGUGUCAAAACCGGCGGAUCUCGGGUAGGGGGUCCCGAACUGUGCGUCUAAGGUCGAUGGUAACAGGAGACGGGGGACACGAUGUUUACCCAGGUUCGGGCCCUCUCUAUGGAGGUAAUACGCUACUUCCUGCUUGAUUGAUCUUGAUGAAUAUGAGUAUUACAAGAGUUGAUCUACCACGAGAUUGUAAUGGCUAAACCCUAGAGGUCCAGCUCGUAUGAUUAUGGUAAUGUAUCUCUCUUCUCCGGACUAAGUCCUCCGGUUUAUAUAGACACCGGGAGGAUCUAGGGUUACACAAGGUCGGUUACAAAGAAGGGAAUCCACAUAUUUGGUCGCCAAGCUUGCCUUCCACGCCAAGGAGAGUCCCAUUCGGACAUGGGUGCAGUCUUCGGUCUUCGUGUUCUUCACAGCCCAUCAGUCCGGCCCAUGGCUAACAGGCCGGACGCCCGAGGACCCCUUAGUCCAGGACUCCCUCAGUAGCCCCUGAACCUGGCUUCAAUGACAAGGUAUCCGGCGCGUAGAUCUGUCUUCGACAUUGCAAGGCAGGUUCCUCCUUCCGAACUCCAAGAUAGUCUUAAGACGUAUUGAACGUGUCCGGACCUGUAACACACGCACCACACACAACCGCAGAGAGAAUAUAAUAUUCCAUGAGUCCAAUCCGCUGACAACUUUUUACAACAUGACAUUACGUCUGCCCGGUCAUAAUUUUGAACCGUUUUUAGCCUGCAGCCCCGGGUUUCGAGGCGCGGCUUUAUUGGCAUGUCUUAUCCAAGUCAAGAUCGUGUCCCCCUUAUUAAGGGAUUGUCAUCAACACAGCCAUGGGUAACCCAACCGUCUCUGUGGUACAACUCCUUGGAAACAGGCAAGUUUUAAGGCCCAGGAGUAGGCGUUUAGAUAUUCACGGCCUUUAUAAAGGGGUGCACACCCGUCUUUUUCUCUUCCACGUUUGCUUCUUCCUCAGCCCUUGCUAUCUCGAGUUCUAAAACCCAAGUUUCGACCACCACAAGCCUUAGUCAUGUCCGGAUCCAGCCUUCUCGGUCGGUGGGUGGUUUCUUCUGUUACAGAGGAGGACAUUGCGAAUCUUAGGGCGGCGAGAUAUCUGACUGCAGAAAUCCUCCAUCGGCUCCCUGCCAAAGGGCAGGUUAUCCCUACCCCCAGAUCCAGCGAGAGGGUCGUGUUCAUCUCCCACUUCCUCUGAGGGUUAGGCUUUUCCCUUAAUCCCUUUGUUCGAGGGCUCAUGUUCUAUUAUGGGCUGAAUUUUCAUGAUCUGGCCCCGAACUCUGUUCUGCUUGUCUCGGCGUUUAUCGUCACGUGCGAGGCCUUCCUUCGAAUCCCUACACACUUCGGCUUGUGGCUCAAGACCUUCCACGUAAAGCCGCAGACGAUUGGGGGGAAGCAGGCGGAGUGUGGUGGCGCCACCGUGAGCAAGCUUAAUAGCGCUCUUUGGCUAAAAGGAUCCUUCACCGAGUCCUCUGACUUAUGGCAGCGGGAGUGGUUCUACAUCACCGAGCCCCGUUGCUCCAAGUUGGCGGCUGGGCCUGUGUUUCGAUCCAGCAUUCCGACCGAGCUCGCCUCAUGGAUUAAUAAGGGGUUGGACUAGGGAUCAAUUGAUGAGGUACAGACUCUUCAAAGCCACAUCAAGAGCCUCCUCGAGAGGGACAUUGAUCUUUUCAACGUUAUUCAAGUAAUGCUGGUUCGUCAGACCUUGCCGUGCCAGAGGCGACCCCUCUGCAUGUGGGAGUUUAAUCCCGAAGGGUCGCGGACACUUCAACACUUCUUUGGCACUACGCACAAAGCGAUGUGGAAAUUAUUCUUCGGGAAACGAAAACAGUGGCCGGAUACUACCGAAGACAUCGACCUUGACUGUAACCAUCCGGAUACCAUGGUAAGUACCCGUCGGCUGAACACCUCAUAAUCAGGUAUCCUGUGGUAAGACACUAAGCAAACCAUCUCUUUCCAGGCUGGAUAAAGAAAGCGGAAUGGAUUCGGUGUCCGGCCGCUCUUUCCGAAGACUCAGCGGACCCCGUGCUAACAAGGAUGCUGGCACCGGCACCGUAUCAGGCGCCGGUGGAGGAGGGCAAGGCGGAGAGUGGGAAGACCAGGGAUGGCCUUCGUUCCGGAGGUAAAUUAGACACCUAGUCCGGGGGAAUUGACAUUUCUUCGCCCGAAGACAAAGGCGAAGGAGAGGCAAGCAUCCCUUCUCCAUACAGGAAGAAAAGGGCCGCCUCCGAAGGUUGGGAGGAACUGACUCCCAAGAGGAGUAAGAUGCCAUCGUCGGGCGGCUCGGGAUUGGAAGGCGACGCCGUUGAACAGCUCCGUCGUGAGGACGGGCCUUUGACCAAAUCGUAAGUAAAUCCGGGGUGCUUUAAUCACAUCUCGUUCCUUUCCUGUUAUCGAAGUGACACAUAAUGUUCACGUGUGUCUUAACAGUUCGGCGCAGAGUGUUCCUGAGCGAUCCUCUUCUUCGGGAGAUCUUCUCCCAGAGAUGAUGGAAAGCGAGACGCCUCCCCCGGCCUCCCCGCCCAAUAGGGUGGACGACUCCGAAGUGUCGUCUCGGAGGGUUUUUCUUGAUCGACAAGCGGCGCAAGGGACGAAGGGGGCAGUACCCGAAGGUGAUCCUUCGAUCAUCCGGGAUUCAGGGGCCAACAGUGAAGGCCCCGGACUAUCCAGUUUUCAACCAGCGGUGAUUCUCGAGACGGGUGAACAGGUUCCUUCAAAGGAUGGUCGUGCUCCUACAGCGGCUUCCGGAGACCCAGCGACGCCAGAUAUGUUGAGGGAUAUGCUGCGAAAGGCAUCUGUCUUGGAGGAACAGCGUACCGUGAUGGGUACGGUGGUUGAGAGGAUUCUGUCCACGAAGAGCGGAUUGAAUGAAGCGUUCAUGAGCCUACUAAGAGGCUUCGAGGUUUGUGAUGUAAUAUUUCCAACUAUAUUUUAUUUGCAACAUGCACCUGUGUAUAGGUAGUAGCCCCUGAGACUCGGGUUGGCUUCCCAUGGGAGGCGAUCAGAGGAUCGAAAAGAUAUGCUCAGGGAAUAAUCUGGUUAAUUGGAACACAGGCUGUGUCGCCCCUGACGACUGCCCGGACUACAGAAGUUGCCGAGCUGCAGCGGAAGCUUGAUGUGGCAGGGGAUGAUAUUGCGUUAAUCAAUAGGCGUCUUGACGAGUCACAAGGUAUGUAUUCGGAGCAGUCAUUACACAUACGUGUUUAUAAUAUAAGCGUGACGCUGAAAAUUGCGUACUGGUAUAUGCAUGGCUGCAGAUGGUGCCACCGCCGUUGAGAUUCUUCGGACGGAGCUAGCCCGGGCCAAGGAGCAGGCCCGAUUUAGUAAUGCGGCUGCCGAAAAGGCAUCGGCCGAGUUAAAGGCCGAACAGGCUGCUCGGCGCAAAGACGAGGAGAAAAUAUCCACGAUGGCGCUCAAACUAAAAAAUGCCGCUAGCCGCUGUGAAUUCCUCGAGAAGGAGAAUAAAGCCAAGACGGCUGAUCUUGACAAGGCCUUGCAAGAGGCGAAAUAAGCGCGGUCCGAAUCUAGAGCGGCCCGUGAGGAGAUCCGGCAAGCUGGGGAGAUUGCGGCUGGUAAGCCCUUUUUAUUACAGACUAAGUUUGGCGAUCCGAAUUAUGCUUAGCUUAACCAAGUGUGGAGCUCUCCGGACGUGUUUUUAGACUUGCCGAAGAGCUCUUCUGAUGCGGCGCAGUUUUACAAGCGCAAGAGGGAUAUGCAACGGAGAAGCUUUUCUGGUCACAGUUUGGUGCAUCAAAACGCCCUCUGCUGCUGAAUGAACAGAUGUCCCAAUGGGCCGAGCUUCAUAGGAUAUCCGGUGCUGCCAUGAAGAACGUCAUAAUCCAGCUGUGGCCGACUGAGCCUAUUCCGAAUAGCUACUUCGGCUUGGUGUAGCGGCUUGCUGAUGCGGUGCCCCGUAUCGACGCUGUUAAGCGGUCGGCGUGCAUUGAAGGUGCACGGAUGGCCUUUGCCCGUGUCAAGACAUACUGGGGGAAGAUGAAGGCCAUCGAUGUUGUGGCGAAGGGUCCACCCAAGGGCAAGGACCAUCACGCACCAGAGAAUUAUUUUGAGGACGUCUUAGAGGCUGCCCGCUUGAUAGAGGGUCAAUGUUUGAAAGACAUAAUAUUUGAGUGAAGUUUAUAAUCGAGGAGGUCUAUCGUUCCGGUGCCAUAAAAAUCAACAACUUCGAAGGCACAAAUCCGAAGGUGGUGAACGGUCAAAGAAUCAAACAUUAUAUCUCAUGUAAUCCUAUAAAUGUUGAAACUAAUGUUAUUGAAACCGUAACCCCGGAGGAAUACAUAAGGGACACUUUCCAGAACGUUUCGGACUCCAAAAAGGAAUAGGUAUGUGGUACGGUAAGUAAACCGACUCCAAAACAGUUCUAAUAGUAAUUUUUCUCUGUUUUGGAAUAUUUAAGAAAAUAGGAAAAUAAGAAGUACUACGGGAAGGACACGAGGCGUCCAUGAGGGUGGAGGGCGCGCCCCCUGCCUCGUGGGCACCUUGUGUGCCCUCCGGACUUCGUUUUCUUGCACGAUACUUCUUUUGGUCGGUAAAAAUUCAUUAUAUAAUCUCCCUAAGGUUUUGACCCUCGUAUCACGCAAAUACCCUCUGUUUUUAUUUCGAGCUGUUUUCUGACAGAGUUGUUAAGGUCAGGCAUCAUGUCGUUCCCCUUCUCCAACAAUGAGGGCAACGAUGCUUGGCUAAUAAAGAUAGAGCUGAAGAGAGAAGAACUAGGGGAGAUCAACAAGGAUGAUGGGAUCAAGAAGGCCAUGGAGGAUCAAGCUCCGGCAGCAGAAGAAGAAGACGCCCUUCAACCUCAUUAUGAUCUUCUUACCCCAACUGAGAUUGAAGCUUUCGAGAUGAUUGAAUUAGCUCGCAUACAAAACAAGUAUCUCCCACAUGAAAAUAUUUUGUUGAAGGAGCAUAUCACCACACUCAAGGGCAUUAUCCGCAAAUUGGAGGAUCUCCUAUGCUCGAUGUGUGACUAUCCACCAUCACCACCAUCUUCUUCAUCAGCAAAAGAGACAUAGUCGCAUGGGUAUGGGCACUCCCCUUGGCAACUGCCAAGCUUGGGGAGGUGCCCCGGUAUCGUAUCACCAUCACACUCCUAUAUUUACUGUUUUUCUUAGUUCGAUCCUUUUGGUAAUAUCUUGAUCUAGUAGAAUAAAGUUUUAGUAUGAUUUAGUUCUGAGUUUUGCUUUAUGAUCCUUCUAUGUAAUCGAGUCCGUGAGCUAUAUAUAAUAAAGAUUAGUCUUGAGUCAAGGGCUUGAUUAUCUUACUAUGAUCUUGAGGGAAUAAAAAAAAGAAUAAAAAGAAAUAAAGAGAUCAUAUUGAUCUUAUGGAGAGUAAUGACUUCACAUAUAAAGAGUAUGAUGAAUAAAAGUUGUUGAGAGUUGACAAACAUAGUUUUGGUUAUCGUUGCAAUUAAUAGGAAGUAAUAAAGAGAGGUUUUCACAUAUAAAUAUACUAUCUUGGACAUCUUUUAUGACUGUGAGCACUCAUUAAAAUAUGACAUGCUAAAGAGUUGAUGUUGGACAAGGAAGACAACAUAAUGGGUUAUGUUUUCUUAUAUCCGAAAUAAAGUAUAUUGUCAUGGAUCAUCCAACAUGUUGAGCUUGCCUUUCCCCCUCAUGCUAGUCAAAUUCUUUGCACCAAGUAGAUAUACUACUUGUGUUCCCGAAUACCUUAAACCCAGUUUUGCCAUGAGAGUCCACCAUACCUACCUAUGGAUUGAGUAAGAUCCUUCAAGUAAGUUGUCAUUGUUGCAUGCAAUAAAAAUUGCUCUCUAAAUAUGUAUGAUUUAUUAGUGUGGAGAAAAUAAGCUUUAUACGAUCUUGUGAUGUGGAAGAAAUAAAAGCGACGGACUGCAUAAUAAAGGUCCAUAUCACAAGUGGCAAUAUAAAGUGACGUUCUUUUGCAUUAAGAACUUGUGCAUCCAACCAUAAAAGCACAUGACAACCUCUGCUUCCCUCUGCAAAGGGCCUAUCUUUUAUUUUCAUCUUAUGCCUUAUGCAAGAGUCAUGGUGAUCUUCACCUUUCCUUUUUUACAUUUUAUCCUUUGGCAAGCGCAUUGUGUUGGAAAGAUCCUGAUAUAUAUAUAUAUAUAUAUAUAUAUAUCCAAUUGGAUGUGAGUUAUCAUGAACUAUUAUUGUUGACAUUACCCUUGAGGUAAAAGGUUGGGAGGCAACACUAUAAGCCCCUAUCUUUCUCUGUGUCCGAUUAAAACUCCAUACCCAUAAGUAUUGCGUGAGUGUUAGCAAUUGUGAAAGACUAAAUGAUAGUUGAGUAUGUGGACUUGCUGAAAAGCUCUUAUAUUGACUCUUUCCGAUGUUAUGAUAAAUUGCAAAUUCAUCAAUGACCGAGAUUAUAGUUUGUUAGUUUUCAAUGAAGUUUCUGAUUCAUACUUUACAUUGUGAAUAGAUUGUUACUUUAGCAUAAGAAAUCAUAUGACAAUAUAUAUACAUGUUGCUGUUAUAAGAAUGAUCAUGAUGCCCUCAUGUCCGUAUUUUAUUUUAUCGACACCUCAAUCUCUAAACAUAUGGACAUACUUUUCGUUACCGGCUUCCGCUUGAGGACAAGCGAGGUCUAAGCUUGGGGGACUUGAUACGUCCAUUUUGCAUCAUGCUUUUAUAUCGAUAUUUAUUGCAUUAUGGGCUGUUAUUACACAUUAUGUCACAAUACUUAUGCAUAUUCUCUCUUAUUUUGCAAGGUUUACAUGAAGAGGGAGAAUGCCGGCAGCUGGAAUUCUGGGCUGGAAUGAAACUUCACAGAGGCAGCUUUUGGAAUUAAUAAAAAAUACCGGCGAAGGAAUCAACCAGAGGGGGACCACCCACCAUCCACGAGGGUGGGGGGCGCGCCCUACCCCCCUGGGCGCGCCCCCUGCAUCGUGGGCCCCCUAGCAGGCCUCCAGUGCCCAUCUUAUGCUAUAUGAAGUCUUUUACCCUGGAAAAAAUCAGGAGCAAGCUUUCGGGAUGAAACACCGCCGCCACGAGGCGGAACCUUGGCGGAACCAAUCUAGGGCUCCGGUGGAGCUGUUCUGCCAGGGAAACAUCCCUCCGGGAAGGGGAAAUCGUCACCAUCAUCACCAUCGAACCUCUCAUCGGGAGGGGGUCAAUCUCCAUCAACAUCUUCACCAGCACCAUCUCCUCUAAAACCCUAGUUCAUCUCUUGUAUCCAAUCUUUAUCUCAAAACCUCAGAUUGGUACCUGUGGGCUGCUAGUAGUGUUGAUUACUCCUUGUAGUUGAUGCUAGGUGGUUUAUUUGGUGGAAGAUCAUAUGUUCAGAUCCUUAAUGCAUAUUAAUACCCCUCUAAUUAUGUACAUGAAUAUGAUUUGUGAGCAGUUACGUUUGUUCCUGAGGACAUGGGAGAAGUCUUGCUAUAAGUAGUCAUGUGAAUUUGGUAUUCGUUUGAUAUUUUCAUGAGAUGUAUGUUGUCUUUCCUCUAGUGGUGUUAUGUGAACGUCGACUACAUGACACUUCACCAUUGUUUGGGCCUAGACGAAGGCAUUGGGAAGUAAUAAGUAGAUGAUGGGUUGCUAGAGUGACAGAAGCUUAAACCCUAGUUUAUGCGUUGCUUCGUAAGGGGUUGAUUUGGAUCCAUAUGUUUCAUGCUAUGGUUAGGUUUACCUUAAUACUUCUUUUGUAGUUGCGGAUGCUUGCAAUAGGGGUUAAUCAUAAGUGGGAUGCUUGUCCAAGGAAGGGCAGUACCCAAGCACCAGUCCACCCACAUAUCAAAUUAUCAAAGUAACGAACGCGAAUCAUAUGAGCGUGAUGAAAACUAGCUUGACGAUAAUUCCCAUGUGUCCUCGGGAGUGCUUUCCUUUAUAUAAGAGUUUGUCCAGGCUUGUCCUUUGCUACAAAAAGGAUUGGGCCAUCUUGCUUCACCUUAUUGACUUUCAUUACUUGUUACCCGUUACAAAUUACCUUAUCACAAACUAUCUAUUACCGAUAAUUUCAGUGCUUGCAGAGAAUACCUUACUGAAAACCGCUUGUCAUUUCCUUCUGCUCCUUGUUGGGUUCGACACUCUUACUUAUCAAAAGGACUACGAUAGAUCCCCUACACUUGUGGGUCAUCAACCUCCUUCUCUCGAAGGAGGCUACUUGCCUGAUUCCGGAGCCGUAUAGGUCUCUGGAAUUGUAUUCGGCGAAGGGCCGAAUUAAAUAUGGACCUCAUCGCCAGUCUCCAAGGGGAUUUUCUCCCCCAUGUGUCCGGCGACCGACAUAUUAGCCUCUGGCGCCACCCUGACGGCCUCCUGCUUUUCUCCCUGGCCUGGGGAGGUCCUUCGGGACAGCACCCCGGCGUCGUCCAUAGCCUGGGGAGAGGAGGCUGCUGGAAGGGACCCGCUGUCCAUCACCUUUGGAUCCAGCGAAUUCCCCGAAGAUGAGGAUCGCUGGAGGUUGGAACGGGCCGGGCUGCAGUGCAUGAUUCAACAUGUUAAUGCCAUGUAGUAAAGGAGCUGGAUAUAUGAGUGCGUCUUUGAGUACUUACUAUUCGGCCAGGGGCUUAUCCCUGGGGCGCCACUCGGAGCUGCUGUCGAUGUCCCACACGGAGUUGUCCGCGAGGGAGACCUUCCCCUUCUUGGACGCCUCUGCCUCCAGAUGCGUGGAGUGUAAUGCCCACGGUGCGGCUAUAUCUCCCACGUGUCGAGGCACGACUUAGAGGCAUAACCGCAUUGUGGUUUUGUCGCAAGAAGGGUCAUCUUCACACAAUCCCAUGUAAUGAAUAAGAAUGGGAUAACGAGAGUUGGCUUACAAUCGCCACUUCACACAAUACAUAAAUAUAAUUCAUACAUCAUACAAAAUCCACACAUAGACCGACUACGGUCAAAUCCAAAUGAAAAUAAGAUAACCCCAAAUGCUAGAUCCCCGAUCGUCCCAACUGGGCUCCACUACUGAUCAUCAGGAAAAGAAACAUCGUAACGACCACGUUCCUCGUCGAACUCCCACUUGAGCUCGGUUGCGUCAUCUGCACUGGCAUCAUCGACACCUGCAACUGUUUUGGUAGAAUCUGUGAGUCACGAGGACUCAGCAAUCUCACACCCACGAGAUCAAGACUAUUUAAGCUUAUAGGAAAGGAUGGUGUAAUGAGGUGGAGCUGCAGCAGGCACUAAGCAUAUAUGGUGGCUAACACACGCAAAUGAGAGCGAGAAGAGAAGCAACGCAACGGUCGCGAAGCUAGAAAUGAUCAAGAAGUGAUCCUGAAACUACUUACGUUCAUGCAUAACACAAACCGUGUUCACUUUCCGGACUCCGCCGAGAAGAGACCAUCACGGCUACACACACGGUUGAUGUAUUUUAAUUAAGUCAAGUGACAAGUUCUCUACAACCGGACAUUAACAAAUUCCCAUCUGCCUCAUAACCGCGGGCAUGGCUUUCGAAAGAUAAUACCCUGCAGGGGUAUCCCAACUUAGCCCAUUAUAAGCUCUCACGGUCAACGAAGGAUAAACCUUCUCCCAGGAAGACCCGAUCAGUCUCGGAAUCCCGGUUUACAAGACAUUUCGACAAUGGUAAAACAAGACCAGCAAAGCCGCCCGAUGUGCCGACAAAUCCCGAUAGGAGCUGCACAUAUCUCGUUCUCAGGGCAACACCGGAUGAGACUAGCUACGAGUAAAACCAGUCCUCAAGUUUCCCCAAGGUGGCCCCGCAGGCAGCUCGGUUCGAACCAACACUCGAAGGAGCACUGGCCCGUGGGGGUCUAAAAUAAAGAUGACCCUCGGGCUCGUGAAAACCCAAGGGAAGUGUAGGUGGUAGGUGGUCAAAUGGUAAAACCAAGGUUGGGCCUUGCUGGAGGAGUUUUAUUCAAGGCGAACUGUCAAGGGGGUCCCAUAAAUCACCCAACCGCGUAAGGAACGCAAACUCAAGGAACAUAAUACCGGUAUGACGGAAACUAAAGCGGCAAGAGUGGAACAAAACACCAGGCAUAAGGCCGAGCCUUCCACCCUUUACCAAAUAUAUAGAUGCAUUAAUUAAAUAAGAGAUAUUGUGAUAUUCCAAAAUAUCCAUGUUCCAACAUGGAACCAACUUCAACUUCACCUGCAACUAGCAACGCUAUAAGAAGGGUUGAGCAAAAGUGGUAACUUAGCCAAACAACGGUUUUCUAGGAAAGGAUUGUUAGAGGCUUGACAUGGCAAUAUGGGAGGCAUGAUAUAGCAAGUGGUAGGUAGCGCAGCAUGGCAAUAGAACAAAUAACUAGCAAAGCAAAGAUAGAAGUGAUUUCGAGGGUAUGGUCAUCUUGCCUGCAAGGUUCUCAGAGUUGUCGAAAGCUUGAUCCUCGUAAGCGUACUCAACAGGUUCCUCGUUCAUGAACUCGUCUCCCGGCUCUACCCACAGCAAGAACACAAGCAAUGGAACCACAAUCGAUCACGGGAAAUGCACAAGCAACAUGAUGCAAAACAUGUAUGAUAUGCGAGAUGUGAUAUGCGAUGCAUAUGCGUGCUCCAGAAAAAAAUGAUGAACAAGGCAGUAACUUGACAAACCAAGCAUGCCACUGGAAAGAUGAGAUGAUUUCGGUCGAAAUAGAUAUAAAGAUCACCGGAAACGGAUGCACGGUUUGCAAAUGGCAAGCAAAACAAGAAUGACACGAAUCUGCGAUUAACAGCAUGAUAGCACUUAGAAUACAACAAGUAACUAUGCUACAGCACUCCAACAUAGCAACAAAGCAUAUGGCAGUAAUCUACAGGAGAUGCUUGACAAAAGAUGGACACUGAUCUACGGCUAGAUCACACCACAGCAGGUUCAAACAAGCAUGGCAAAAGUGCGAAAGAUAUCAGGUUCACAGACUUAGUGAAAUUACUGGACAUGGCAGAAUCAGCAUCAGGUAGCAAUGUUCAGAGCAAGAAAUCAACAUGCUCCAGGAACUUAACAUGGCAAAACAAGGCAUGGCAUGAAUCUACGAAAUGCAUAGAACAAAAGUCCCUUACUGAUCAUAAGCCAAAAAGGAUCAGAAGAUAUGAUGGCAACCAUGUAAACAUAGCAAGUUUCGUUAACAGGUUCCAGACUUGGCAGAAAAAGAGUAUGGCAGAACAGACAUUAUGAGGGCAUCUUGGUGAGCUUGAUCCACUCACCACAAAGCAAUGCAUGACAUAACAAGCAUACCUACAGCAAUAUGGCAUGUUUAUGAAGCUAUCCAUGGCAAUAUCAAAUACAAAGCAUGUAUGAAAAAACUACAACAACCUUGGCAAAAUUGAAUAACACGUAAACAAUCUGCCAGAAAUAUUUUAUAGCAAAAGUAGAGCAAGAUUGAGUCAUGAUAGGGCACUCCAUAAUUGCAAACAGGGGCAUGGAUGGAUGGAGCACAACUAUAUCUACAAAACAUCCUUACUGAACAUCAUCAAAAGGAGCAUGGAUCUCUCUGUAGCCAUAUGGAUACAUAGCAACAAAAUAACAGCAGUCACAGACUUAGUAAAAAGUAAAAUUACCAAGUCCCUGAAAUCAGAAACAUCACGAAGCCUAGUUUGCAUACUUGUUCUAGUCACCACAUAGAUCAAAAAAAUACAUGGCAUACACCUCUGUAAAGAUGGCAUGGCAUCCAUCAAAACACAUGUAGAGCUCAUGCCCAUAAGAUGCACACAUCAAAUGCAACAAAAAUAACAAAUCCUCAAGUUCUGAUAAGUAACAGCAGGUAAUAGCAUAUAGCACUCUUGCACCAGAGAUUUGGGCAUCAAGAUGGACUCAAAUGAACAUGGCAUAAUGGAACAAAAUGAAGAGCAUCUCGAUACGAACAUUUCUAUAUAUUACACGCGCGAAACGGAGUAGUAUGCAGAGAGUUAUGAUGCGAUGAAUAGGAGCACAUUAUGCAAAAAUAUCCAGACUUAGAAUAUUUCGGGGAGAGGGGAGAGUCAACCUUCGGGUUGACCCGAUCAGGAUCUGGCUCGGGCUGCUCGAGCUCGCCGGAGUUGGGGCGCUGCGGCCGGAGCUCGGGGACGGAGGAGAGGGCCGGCGGGGAGGCGGCACCGGCGAACGGCGGAGGAGGAGGCGACGCCUCGGGGCGGCGGCAUGGGUGGAGCGGCGCGGGCGCCGACGGGCAUGGGCGGACGGCGGCGGGGUCGACNNNNNNNNNNNNNNNNNNNNNNNNNNNNNNNNNNNNNNNNNNNNNNNNNNNNNNNNNNNNNNNNNNNNNNNNNNNNNNNNNNNNNNNNNNNNNNNNNNNNNNNNNNNNNNNNNNNNNNNNNNNNNNNNNNNNNNNNNNNNNNNNNNNNNNNNNNNNNNNNNNNNNNNNNNNNNNNNNNNNNNNNNNNNNNNNNNNNNNNNNNNNNNNNNNNNNNNNNNNNNNNNNNNNNNNNNNNNNNNNNNNNNNNNNNNNNNNNNNNNNNNNNNNNNNNNNNNNNNNNNNNNNNNNNNNNNNNNNNNNNNNNNNNNNNNNNNNNNNNNNNNNNNNNNNNNNNNNNNNNNNNNNNNNNNNNNNNNNNNNNNNNNNNNNNNNNNNNNNNNNNNNNNNNNNNNNNNNNNNNNNNNNNNNNNNNNNNNNNNNNNNNNNNNNNNNNNNNNNNNNNNNNNNNNNNNNNNNNNNNNNNNNNNNNNNNNNNNNNNNNNNNNNNNNNNNNNNNNNNNNNNNNNNNNNNNNNNNNNNNNNNNNNNNNNNNNNNNNNNNNNNNNNNNNNNNNNNNNNNNNNNNNNNNNNNNNNNNNNNNNNNNNNNNNNNNNNNNNNNNNNNNNNNNNNNNNNNNNNNNNNNNNNNNNNNNNNNNNNNNNNNNNNNNNNNNNNNNNNNNCCCUGGCGGCGGCGCGGGAGGAGCGGGCCAGGCACGGGCCCUGCGGGCCGCGACGCGGGAGGAGAGAGAGAGAGCCGGCGGGGUGACGUGGCGUCCCCUGGUUGGCCGGGCGCGGCGGCGGGGAUGCGUCUGGUGGCGGCGGGGGCGAUUUUUGCUAGGGUUUCGCCCGGAUUUCGGAGGGGGAGGUGUUUUUAUAGGUAGAGGGAGCUAGGAGUCUCCAAAUGGAGCACGGUUUUCGCCCACACGAUCGUGAUCGAACAACCUAGAGCAUGGAAGUGACUUAGAGGGGUUUUGGGCUGUUUGGAGGGGGGUUUUGCUGCAACACACAAAAGGACUUUGCGGUUACCCGGUUAACCGUUGGAGCGUCAAACGACCUCCAAAUGGCACGAAACUUGACAGGUGGUCUACCGGUGGUAUACCAAGGCCACUUGGCAAGACUCGGUCCAUUCCGAGAACGUUCAACACCCGCUCACGAAAAGAAACAAGAGGGGGUGCGCCGGUGCAAGUGGGAGUGCCGGAUUGCAAAACGGACAACGGGGAAAAUGCUCGGAUGCAUGAGACGAACACGUAUGCAAAUGAGAUGCACAUGAUGACAUGAUAUGAUGCAUGACAUGAACAAAAUGCAAAACGAAAAACAGAACUCAACCACGGAGGGAAUAUCAUAACACAUAGCCGAAAAUGGCAAGAGUUGGAGUUACAAAUAUGGAAAGUUACAUCCGGGGUGUUGCAUGGAGGCUGCCCUUUUCUUCCCUCCCCACUCCGGGGGAGAAUUGCUUUCCUCCUCCUCGUCGUCCUCGGUGGGGGAGGAGAGGGUCUUGGCAUCUUCGGAUGUCACAUUCGAAGUGCCCUUAUGGCGGAGGCCACUUCUGGUCUCCUUGGCCUUCUUCUUGGCCUUCUUCUCCGGCGCCUGGUAGGGCGCCGGAACCAGCAUCUUUGUAAGAAGUGGGAUUGCUGGGUCUUCGGGCAGCGGAGCCGGACACUGAAUCCGCUCCGCCUUCUUUGUCCAGCCCUAAAGAAAACAACAAAUAGGGAAGCUUAGACGUCUUCCUUGAGUAUACAAGUAAAGGAUACACCUUGAAAUACGAAAAACUUAACGGACUGGCGGGAUGGGCCAGGACGUGCCCACGGUCCUCGGUCGUCGCCGGCCACGUCUCAUUGGCCUUAAAGAGCACCUUCCAGAUGUCUUCAUGCGUAGUGCCGAAGAACUGUUGCAAGGUUUGGUGCUCGGCCGGAACAAACUCCCACAAAUGGCAGGUCUGGCUUUGGCAUGGAAGGAUCCGGCAAACAAGCAUCACCUGGAUCACAUUGACGAGCUUGAUGUUCUUGUCUAUCAUGCUCCUAAUGCGCGUCUGAAACGCUGUCAGCUCGUCCGACGAAGACCAGCCCAGGCCCUUCUCUAGGCAGGAGGUGAGCCGCAUCGGGGCUCCAGACUAGAAUUCGGGAGCCACGGCCCAGGUGGCGUCGCGAGGCUCUGUGACGUAGAACCACUCUUGUUGCCACCCUUUGACGGUCUCCACGAAGGUACCUUUGGGCCAUGAAACGUUGGGCAUCUUGCUCACCAUGGCGCCUCCGCACUCUGCGUGUUGACCACCCACCACCUUCGGCUUCACAUUGAAGAUCUUUAACCACAAUCCGAAGUGGGGUGGGAUGCGGAGGAAGGCCUCGCACACGACAAUGAAUGCCGAGAUGUUGAGGAAGGAGUUGGGGGGGGGGUAGAUCGUGGAAAUCUAGCCCGUAGUAGAACAUGAGUCCGCGGACAAAUGGGUGGAGAGGGAAUCCCAAUCCACGGACGAAGUGGGGGAUGAAUACCACCCUCUCAUGGGGCUCCGGGGUGGGGAUGAUCUGCCCCUUGGCCGGAAGUCGGUGGGCGAUUUCCUUGGCCAAAUACCCAGCCUCCCGGAGCUUCGUGAUGUCCUUCUCCUUGACGGAGGAAACCAUCCAAUUGCCCUGCGCCAGAUCCAGACAUGGCUGGAGUGCUUUUUUGAGGUGGAGAGGAUGGAGGCUUGGGCGCUGGAGCUCGAGAAUGGAUGGGCAGAGAGAAAGAAGGCGUGGGUGAAAGGGUGAAUCCUUAUCUCCUUAUAAAGGCUGCGAAUAUCAAGCGCAUCCCCACUCGCCUUAAAACUCGCCUAUUCCCCAAGGGCCAUGCAGACGGCACGGUUGGAUUACCCACGCCCGUAUUGAUGAGAAUCCCAUGAUAAGGGGACACGAUCUCUGCUUCGACAAGACGUGCCAAUAAAACCGCACCUAGAAACAUGGAGCGGGAGGCUAAAAAACGGUUUGAAAUAAUGACCGGGCAGCGACGUGAUGUCACGCUACAAAAGUUGUCAGUAGAUUGGACUCGUGAAAUAUUAUACUCUCUGCGUGUGUGUGGGGUACUUGUUUUGCAAAGCCGGACACGUUUUCUGUGUUCGAAGGCUGUUUUCGAGUAUUCGGAGGAGGAACCCGCCUUGCAAUGCCGAAGACAAUCUGCGCGCCGGACACCUCGUCAUUGAAGCCUGGUUCAGGGGCUACUGAGGGAGUCCUGGAUUAAGGGGUCCUCGGGCGUCCGGCCUAUAUGACAUGGGCCGGACUGAUGGGCUAUGAAGAUACAAGACAGAAGACCUCUUCCCGUGUCCCGAUGGGACUCUCCUUUGCGUGGAUGGCAAGCUUGGCAUGCGGAUAUGUAGAUUCCUUUCUCUGUAACCGACUUUGUACAACCUUAGUCGCCUCCGGUGUCUAUAUAAACUGGAGGGUUUAGUCCAUAGGGGCAAUCACAAUCAUACAGGCUAGACAUCUAGGGUUUAGCCAUUACGAUCUCGUGGUAGAUCAACUCUUGUAAUCCUCAUAUUCAUCAAGAUCAAUCAAGUAGGAAGUAGGGUAUUACCUCCAUCAAGAGGGCCCGAACCUGGGUAAACAUCGUGUCCCCCGUCUCCUGUUACCAUCGACCUUAGACGCACAGUUCGGGACCCCCUACCCGAGAUCCGCUGGUUUUGACACUGACAGUUGCGGGAUCAUAACACGUAGUAGGUGACUAUAACUUGCAAGAUCGGAUCUAAAACAUGGAUAUAAUGAUGAAUUCAUAAAUGGUUCAGAUCUGAGUUCAUGGCACCCGGGCCCAAAGUGACAAGCAUUAAGCAUAGCAAAGUCAUAGCGACAUCAAUCUAAGAACAUAGUGGAUACUAGGGAUCAAGCGCUAACAAAACUAACUCGAUUACAUGAUGAAUCUCAUCCAACUCCUCACCGACCAGCGAGCCUACGAAGGAAUUACUCACUCCCUGUGGGGAGCAUCAUGGAAUUGGCAAUGGAGAUGGGUUGGUGAUGACGAAGAACGAAGACCCCCCUCUCCGGAGCCCCAAACGGACUCCAGAUCUGCCCUCUCGAGGAAGAACAGGGCUUGGCGGCGGCUCCGUCUAGUGAAACGCGAUAAUUCUUUCUCCCUAAUUUUUUUUCUGAAAUAUGUGAUUUUAUAGUAUCAGGGGGGUCGUCAGCAGGGCCACCAGGUGGGUACAACCCACCUGGGCACGCCAGGAGAGGGGCGCGCGCCCUGGUGGGUUGUGCCCACCCAGGUGCCCCUCUCCGGCAGGUCCUGGCUCCAGAAAUUCUUAUUAUUGAUAUAAAAAAUCCUCGCAAAGUUUCGUUCCAUUCCGAGAACUUUUAUUUCUGCACAAAAACAACACGAUGGUAGUUCUGCUGAAAACAGCGUCAGUACAGGGUUAGUUUCAUUCAAAUCAUGCAAAUUAGAGUCCAAAACAAGAGGAAAAGCGUGAGAAAAAGUAGAUACGUUUGAGACGUAUCAACUCCCCAAGCUUAAACCUUUGCUUGUCCUCAAGCAAUUCGGUUGAUAAACUGAAAGUGAGAAAGAAAAACUUUUACAAACUCUUUUGCUCUUGUUUGCAUAAAUAAGCUUAAACAACACCCAGGUUUUCAGCCAUUAUAACUAACCAUGUCGACAAUAACUCUUAAAGAUUAUAAUGACUCGUAUCAAUGACAUAAUCAGCUAGCGAGCAAUAAUAAGAUAUCUCAAAUAGCAACACAUUGUCAAAACAACCAUGAUAUAAUAUGACAAUAGUGGUAUCUCACUAGCCCUUUCUGAGACCGCAAAACAUAAAUGCAGAGCACCUCCAAAGUUCAAGCAGCGACUAAACAUUGUAAUUCAUGGUAGAAAAGAUCCAGUCAUGAUGCACCUAACAUUAGCUAUACACAAUGCGUAAAUCAUGACAGUUGUGCUCUACUCAGUUUCUGGCGCUUGUUUCAGAAGGUGGUGACACAACAUAAAAGUAAAUAGAAAGUCCCUUCGCAGAGGGAAGCAGUGAUUUGCAGAGGUGCCAGAGCUCAGUUUUUAAAACAGAGAUAAAUGAUUUUUUGAGACAUGCAUCCUUCUUAUUCACUUCAUGACCAUCAGUUAUCAACAUCUUCCAUGCUAAGCACGCUAGUGGCGGUUCCCAAGCGAUAAAAGUAAAGGUUUUGACUCCAUUGGGAGUUUUUGUUUGAUUAUUCAAGAGAUGAACUCUUUUUCAUGUUUGCAGUUUGGGACUGGGCAUCCCUAUUACCGCCCAUUUCCUCGUGCAAUGGCGAGUGAAUAAACACUCGACCUGAGAAUAACCCGCUUAGCAUGGAAGAUAUCGACCACCUCCUGUAGUUCCAUGGACGAUCCAGGCACACAAACAGGAUAAUUUUUAGAAGUUUUUAGAGGUGGCACAUGAAAAUUUACUUAGGAUGGCAAGGUAAUACCGUAUAUAGGUAGGUAUGGUGGAUUCAUCUGGAAUAACUUUGGGUUCAAGUUUUUUGAUGUACAAGCAGAGUUCCCACUUAGUACAUGCGAAGGCUAGCAAUUAAGAUUGAGAAGCGGCCAGCUAGAGAGCAACAACGAUCUUAACCAGGCAUUAUGCAUAAGUAACUGAUACGUCUCCAACAUAUCUAUAAUUUUUGAUUGUUCCAUGCUAUUAUAUUAUCUGUUUUGGAUGUUUAAUGGGCUUUAAUAUGAUCUUUUAUAUUAUUUUGGGGACUAACCUAUUAACCGAAGGCCCAGUGCCAGUUUCUGUUUUUUUGCCUAUUUCAGUGUUUCGCAGAAAAGGAAUAUCAAACAGAAUCCAAACGGAAUGCAACCUUCGCGAUGAUCUUUCUUGGAGCGAAAGCAAACCAGGAGACUUGGAGAUGAAGUCGGAGAUGCAACAAGGCGACCACGAGGCAGGAGGGCACGCCCAAGGGGGGUAGGCGCGCCCCCACCCUCGUGGCCCCCUCGUGGCUCCACCGACAUACUUCUUUCGCCUAUAUACACUCUUAUACCCUAAAAACAUCAAGGGGAGCCACGAAACCACUUUUCCACGGCCGCAACCUUCUAUACCCGUGAGAUCCCAUCUUGGGGCCUUUUCCGGCGAUCUGCCGGAGGGGGAAUCGAUCACGGAGGGCUUCUACAUCAACACCAUAGCCUCUCCGAUGAAGCGUGAGUAGUUUACCACAGACCUUUGGGUCCAUAGUUAUUAGCUAGAUGGCUUCUUCUCUCUCUUUGGUUCUCAAUACAAAGUUCUCCUUGAUGUUCUUGGAGAUCUAUUCGAUGUAAUACUUUUUGCGGUGUGUUUGCUGAGAUUUGAUGAAUUGAGGAUUUAUGGUCAAGAUUAUCUAUGAAUAAUAUUUGGUUCUUCUCUGAAUUCUUAUAUGCAUGAUUUGAUAUCUUUGCAAGUCUCUUCGAAUUAUCGGUUUAGUUUGGCCUACUAGAUUGAUCUUUCUUGCAAUGGGAGAAGUGCUUAGCUUUGGGUUCAAUCUUGUGGUGUCCUUUCCCAGUGACAGUAGGGGCAGGAAGGCAUGUAUUGUAUUGUUGCCAUCGAGGAUAAAAAGAUGGGGUUUAUAUCAUAUUGCUUGAGUUUAUCCCUCUACAUCAUGUCAUCUUGGUUAAUGCGUUACUUUGUUCUUAUGAACUUAAUACUCUAGAUGCAUGCUGGAUAGCGGUCGAUGUGUGGAGUAAUAGUAGUAGAUGCAAAAUCGUUUCGGUCUACUUGACACGGACGUGAUGCCUAUAUUCAUGAUCAUUGCCUAGAUAUUCUCAUAACUAUGCACUUUUCUAUCAAUUGCUCGGCAGUAAUUUGUUCACCCACCGUAAUACAUGCUAUCUUGAGAGAAGCCACUAGUGAAACCUAUGGCCCCCGGGUCUCUUUCUUAUUAUAUUGCAUCUCUUUUAUUUACAUCACAUCUCGUUUACUAUUUUGCAAUAUUUAAUUUCCAAUUUAUACAACAAAAAUACCAAAAAUAUUUAUCUUACUAUCUUUAUUAGAUCUCACUUUUGCGAGUGACCGUGAAGGGAUUGACAACCCCUUUAUCGUGUUGGUUGCAAGGUUCUUGAUUAUUUGUGCAGGUACUAGGUGACUUGCGUGUAAUCUCCUACUGGAUUGAUACCUUGGUUCUCAAAAACUGAGGGAAAUACUUACGCUACUUUGCUGCAUCACCCUUUCCUCUUCAAGGGAAAACCAACGCAUGCUCAAGAGGUAGCAAGAAGGAUUUCUGGCGCCGUUGCCGGGGAGAUCUACGCUCAAGUCAAGACAUACCAAGUACCCAUCACAAACUCUUCUCCCUCGCAGUACAUUAUUUGCCAUUCGCCUCUCGUUUUCCUCUCCCCCACUUCUAAAACAAUUUUCAAAAACCUUUGCCUUUUCUUCGCCCCUCUUCCGUUCGCCUCCUUUCGCUUGCCUCUUGUGUGUCCGUGUGUUAAAUCGUUUGUUUCGCCAUCAUGGCUAGUCCUCCUAUCAUUGUUAAUACUCCCAAUAAUGAAGUUCUCAAUUUUAAACAAAGGGAGGGAGAAAAUCUAAAAGAUGCUUGGUAUAGAAUUUGCAAUGCUCAAAAUAGAUCUACUAAAAAGCAAUCCACUUCCGUUCUUCUUCGCAAUUUUUACGUUGGCAUCACUCCUUGAAAUAGAUAUGUUCUUGACACCAUUACCGGAGGGAAUAUCUAGGGAAGCCAUACUUUUGAUUCUUAUAAUGCUAUGAUAGACUUGUUAGGCCCACCACCUCUUUUGGUCAAUGGAACUAUUGUAACUCUGGAACAUGUGAUGCAAAGGCUUGAUAUUAUUGAAAAUAAAAUUGCCACUGUAGAGUUAAUUGAAAAUUUGGAUAAAAAGAUCCACAACCACAUUACCCAAUAUGUAUGUAAGGUAGGAGUAACUCUGAAAAAUCUUAGGGAAAAGGAACCCAUAGUUAAUGAAAAGAUAGACCAAGAUUCCACUAGAAUUGAUAAACUCGAAGACAUUAUUACCAACUUGGGAUCCGCUUUUUCUGCCAUUAAAAAUACCUCAAAUCCUCCUCCUACCAAAGUUGCCAAGUUUAUCUAUGUUCCUAAAAAUAAGGGUGAAUCUUCUACUAAGGAAAAUGAAGACCUCAAAUCAAUAAGUGUUCACCCCAACUUUUUCGAUAUCAUUAAGGAACCUUUUACUACAAAUGAAUUUCUCGAUUCCUUGCCUAGGAUUUUUAUCAUUAGCAAAACCAAAGAACCUUCUAAGGGUCAUGAACGUUCAAUUGAAGAAUUGCAUACCAAAUAUGACAAUACCUAGAUCUAUUCUUGUUCUUAUGCCUAGCUAGGGGCGUUAAACGAUAGCGCUUGUUGGGAGGCAACCCAAUUUUAUUUUUGUUCCAUGAUUUUUGUUCCUGUUUAGUAAUAAAUAAUUCAUCUAGCCUCUGGUUAGAUGUUGUUUUAUGUUUUAAUUAGUGUUUGUGCCAAGUAGAACCUUUGGGAAGACUUGGAUGAAGUCUUUGCGAUCUUGCUGUAAAAAACAGAAAAUUUUGCGCUCACGAGAUUAGAUGCCAGUUUUUACUGGAGAGUGCUUUUAGGUUGAUUAUUUUUGAAGAUGAUUAAUAGACAAAUUACUCACGUCCACCAAUUUAUUUCAGAAUUUUUGGAGUUCCAGAAGUAUUUGUUUGAUACAGAUUUCUACAGACUGUUCUGUUUUGACAGAUUCUGUUUUUCGUGUGUUGUUUGCUUAUUUUGAUGAAUCUAUGAGUAGUAUCGGGGGGUGUUGAGGAUAUAGACCUUAGAGUCACCCGCCAGGAGGGGCCGGGUUACUCGUACGGUCGUUGCCAGAAGCCCGGAGCCAAGUUUCAAGACGAUGAGCCAGAUAUGGGCUGAGACCCGGAUAUGGCUUAAGGCCCGUAGUUACAAUCAUUAUUAUAGUAGAACUUGUAGCGUAAGGCAAGUAUAGUUUAGAGUCCGAGCCGGACACUCUUAUGAGCCGGCCGGGACUCUAAGGGCUGCUGGGCGUGUUCCUCCCUAUAUAAGGGGACGACCCGGCAGCGGUUUGAGGGCGACAACAAUCUCAUCGAGAGCCGGGAAUAGCUGUUUAGCUCCUGGCGAUCGUAACCCCAAUCAAUAUCACCCCAAACUGGACGUAGGCUUUUACCUUCACCGUAAGGAGCCGAACCAGUAUAAACCCUCUGUUCCUUGUCCCGCAUAACCCCUUCAAGCUUCCUAGUUGCGAUGGCUCCACGACUAAGUCCUAGCUCAAGGGCAUCUGCCGUGACAAUUCCACGACAGUUGGCGCCCACCGUGGGGCUAGCGCAUGGUGGAUUUGAGUUCUUGAAGGGCAGCUUCGAAGGGCUCAAGGGAUACGCUGUGGGCCGGAUGACCAAGAGUCGUCGCGGCAAGCUCUACAUCGACGAUGCGGACUGGGGCCCCGACGCCGGCUCAAUUGAGUACGGGUACCGGGUCCCCUUUGGCGGAAUUCAUGUCUUCAUUGGCAAGAUUGGUGAGCCGGGCCCCGAGCCGGAUUUCUGCGCCGAUUUCAUCGAAACGGCUCAGCGUGCACGACCCGCCCGGGCCCGGCCUGCCUUAAGGCGCGCUUUUGUGGGAUGCAUCCAUGGAGGGCCCUCUGAUCCAUCUGGGUCUGGUGAUGAGGCGGCCGCCGGCUCUGACGGCGAGUCGGCCACCGAUGAAUCAAACUCGUUGUACAAACUUCAAGAUGGCAGGCUCAUGGGUUGUUCCGAUGGCGACAGCAUUCCGGUCCUUUUUGAGCCGCCAAGUCAGGUUGGAGUUUUUAUGGCUGGUGCGCAGCCUGUUCAGAACCCCGCUGCUGGAUCGGGAAACCCGGUGCCUUCUCCGGCUCAGGUGCUGAUGGAUCUCACGGACAAGAUGACGGCCCUGCUAAUCGCCACGGUUGACCCGGCGAAUCAAGCUCAGCAUGAUGCGGAGGUGGCACAGUUAAAACUGGAUUUGAUAAAAGCUAAAGAGGAUCUUGCAGCGGAAGGGAUCAGGCUGGCUGCGGAGUGGGCGGCUCUCGACGCCCGGACUCAGCUGAUUCAGGCGCAGUCCUUCCAACUCACGAUGGAUCAGAACGCGACCAACGAGGUCAUGAGAAGGAGGCAUCAGAAGGCCCAGUCUCGACUCCCACCGGUUUACGAUCCACGCAAUCUCUUCAACACGCCGGGCGCAGGAUCUAGUAACCCGCCAGGGGGCAUUGCGCCCGGGUCUGGACCCCUUAUUCAGCCACGAGUGAUGGGCCUCCCCAGGUGCCCCCUGCCCCGCCUCAGUAUGUGCCAAUACCCCCGGGUCAUUAUGAUAACCCGCUGGAGAACAUGGUGGCUGCGGCAGCAUGGCUGGCGGCUCUCCCCGUUAACGGCGACUCUCCGGCGGCCAUCGAAACCCGCCGGGUCAGGGAACUCCUGCAGACGGCACUGGCGCAGCAAGAGGCGUACUCCUACAGCCGGGACAGGAUCCACUCGACCCCUCGUCCAGGCCAGAGCCCGAGUUACAGCCGGCACAUGGUCUCAGCAACCGGCUCAAGUAAUGUCCGACGCCAUGACCCGCCCCGUGGCCAUGGCCCGGCUCAUACUGGAGCCUUUUACGCGACAGACCAAGCGCGGCAAGAGGCGGAGCAGGUGCCUCAAUUGACAGCUUAUCAGACCCCCCCGGCUUAUCCGACGACUUCCGUUGAUGUGGGUAUCCCUACCAGGACCGGGGGUGUCCCUUGUUUGGUGCCAGCUAUCCGUAAUGAACGUUUACCUAAGGACUUCAAGGGCCCUAGGAAGGUGCCUAACUAUACAGCUGACUUACAGCCUACAGCCUGGAUUGAGAGUUAUGAGAUGGCUAUGGAAUUGCUGGAGGUCAGUGAGGCGGCCAUGGCCAAGUAUUUCACCAUGAUGUUAGAUGGAACUGCCCACACGUGGUUGAAAGGGUUACCACCGAAUUCCAUUGGGUCUUGGACUGAGCUGAAAGCCCGGUUCAUCCAAAACUUCAAAGAUACCUGUAGGCAAUCCAUGUCAAUUGUGGAUCUGACUAACUGUAAGCAGCAGGAGGGUGAAUCCAUGACCCAUUGGGUUCGCCGGGUCAAGGAGAUCAUACAUUCAUCGGAUAAGAUGGAUGCCGGCUCUGCAGUCUUAAUGUUGGAACAAAACUGUCGCUUUGUGCCCCUAAAGAUGAAACUCGGGCGGCUUAAACGUGACUGCACUGAUAUGGGUACACUAAUGGCGGCUCUUGUCAAAUACGCCGAUUCCGAUGGUACCAAGGAUCCCCCUUCAGAUGAUGAAAGGACAGGGAAGGGAAAGAAGAACCGCAAUGGCAAGGGUCCUCAGUUUAACCCGGGGAACCAAGGAGGAGGCAAGCGCAAGGCCGAUGGCAGCCUAGAGUUCGUAGCCAACGCGAACUCCCAAGGUAAUAACCAGCGACGCAAGGGGAGGCCCCCUCCCCGAGGCGGCGGGUCAGGACCCUCUCUGGAGCAGCUGUUGAAUGAGCCUUGUCCGAGGCACGGCUCUAGAGAGAAGCCAGCGACUCAUCUGUGGAAGGAUUGUGCAAUCAUGAAGGCCUUUAAAAACUACAAUGGCCCGGGCGGCGGCUCAGGUGCCGGCGGCUCAGGCGCUGGCGGCUUUCAUGGCCCGGGGGGGCGGCUCAAAUUCUGGCCCUCAGGGCGGUCAAGGGGGCUUUAAUCAACAGUCUGGCCAGGGUCAUCAACAGCAGCAGGGGGGUUAUCAUACCAAUCCAAAGCAGCUUAGCGGUGGACAGUAUCAUGUGUUUACCACUAGUUUGUGCAAACGAGAUCAGAAGCUUCACAAGAGGGCUGUGAAUGCUGUUGAGCCGGCAGUUCCACGCUACUUGCGGUGGUCUGAGCAGCCUAUAGUGUGGAGUAGGGAGGAUCACCCUCCCCGGGUGGAUAACCCGGGCCACUUGGCCUUAGUGGUGGCUCCUCAGGUGGGAGGUUAUAAGUUCACAAAGGUACUCAUGGAUGGAGGCAGCAGCAUCAACAUCCUCUAUUAUGAGACUUUUCGCCGUAUGGGGUUGGUUGAUAAGAACCUCAGCCAGUCAAACACUAUUUUCCAUGGUGUGGUACCUGGUAAGUCGGCUUAUCCAGUCGGCAAGAUCGAAUUGGAAGUGGCUUUUGGUGAUGAGAACAACUACAUGGUGGAGAAGUUGACCUUUGAGGUGGUCAAGAUAAGAAGUCCAUACCAUGCUAUAUUUGGACGGCCGGCUUACGCCAAGUUCAUGGCACGGCCGUGUUAUGUGUACUUACAGCUCAAAAUGCCGGGUCACAACGGGACUAUUACGGUUCACGGCAGCCAGAAAGUGGCUCUAGAGUGCGAGGAAGACGACGCAGCUUAUGCAGAGUCUGUUUGUGCUACAGAGGAGUUGAAAUUUUACAAAGACAAUGUUGACCCAACAGAUAUGACCUCUCUGAAAAAGCCAACCACGGAGAAUGAACCGGCAAUGAAAUUUAAAUCAGCUGACGAGACUAAACUUGUUGAUUUUGUUCCAGGUGACUCGUCUCAGCAGUUUAGCAUCAGUGCAAAUCUGGAUCCGAAAUAGGAAAGCGCGCUCAUCGAGUUCAUCCGUGAGAAUAGGGACAUCUUCGCGUGGAAACCUUCUGACAUGCCAGGUGUACCUAGAGAACUCGCUGAGCACACUCUCAAUGUUGAUCCGAAAUUUAAGCCGGUCAGACAGUUCCUUCGGCGGUUUAAUGAAGAGAGGCGGAAAGCUAUUGGUGAAGAAGUGGCCCGGCUCCUGGCGGCCGGGUUUAUCGUUGAAGUCUUUCACCCAGAAUGGUUGGCUAACCCGGUGCUCGUGCUCAAGAAGAACGGCACCUGGCGGAUGUGUGUGGAUUACACGGACUUGAACAAGGCGUGUCCGGCUGAUCCUUUUGCCCUCCCCUGUAUUGAUCAAAUCAUUGAUGCUACGGCAGGUUGUGCACGCUUAAGUUUCUUGGACGCUUAUUCCGGGUAUCAUCAAAUUAAGAUGGCAGUUAAGGACCAGGAGAAGACGGCGUUCAUCACUCCCUUUGGAGCCUUCUGCUAUGUGUCUAUGCCCUUUGGACUCAAGUGUGCACAGGCAACUUACCAGCGUUGUGUACAGAAUUGUCUUCAUAAACAGAUCGGGCGCAAUGUUCACGCUUACGUGGAUGAUAUUGUGGUUAAAUCCAUCAAAGAGGAAACCCUUAUAGAUGAUUUAAGGGAAACCUUUGAUAAUCUCCGGGUCUAUAAGAUGAUGCUUAACCCGGCCAAGUGUGUCUUUGGUGUUCCUGCAGGCAAACUAUUGGGCUUCUUGGUUUCUGACAGAGGCAUUGAGGCUAACCCGGAGAAGAUCAAGGCCAUCACCUCUCUAGCUAACUCGGGUCGCAUCGCUGCUUUAAGCCGGUUUAUAAGCCGUUUGGGUGAGAAGGCCAUGCCCUUAUAUCAGUUGAUGAAGAAGACUGAUAACUUUGCCUGGAAUGAUGCAGCUAAUACCGCUUUUGAGGAUUUGAAGAAGCAGCUGGCAGAGCCCCCAGUCCUUGCUGCUUCGGUUGAUAAGGAGCCCUUGCUACUAUAUGUGGCGGCAAACGCAUGAGCCGUCAGCGUGGCUAUUGUGGUGGAGCGCAAGGAGGCGGGUAAGGAGCAUCCAGUUCAGCGGCCGGUUUAUUAUGUCAGCGAAGUGCUCAUUGAGUCCAAGCAGCGGUACCCGCAUUGGCAGAAGCUUGUGUAUGGUGUGUUCAUGGCGAGCCGGAAACUUAAGCAUUAUUUUCAGGGUCAUCCCAUCACUGUGGUCAGCUCUGCCCCUCUUGGUGAUAUCAUUCAAAACAGAGAGGCUACAGGGAGAAUUGCUAAGUGGGCUAUAGAACUUGGACCUCAUGGCCUCAAAUAUGUGCCACGCACUGCUGUUAAAUCUCAGGCUUUGGUGGAUUUCAUCAAUGAUUGGACAGAGUCACAAGUGCCCGAGCAAAAGCCGGACAACACUUAUUGGACUAUUCACUUUGAUGGGUCCAGGCAGCUGGAGGGCUCGGGGGCUGGCGUUGUAUUGGCUUCCCCUAAAGGUGACAAGUUCCAUUAUGUGCUACAGUUGAUGUUUCCUUGCACUAACAAUGCGGCUGAAUACGAGGCUUUGCUCCACGGUCUUCGGGUGGCUAAGGAGAUGAGCUUAAGCCGGGUAAGGUGCUUUGGUGACUCAGACUUGGUGGCUCAACAAGUAUCAGGCACGUGGGAUUCUAAGGAUCCUCUCAUGGCGGCUUAUCGCCGCGAGGUUGAUGCCAUUGCUGGGCACUUUCAGGGAUACCAAGUGGAGCACAUUGAUCGCAGGAAGAACGAGGCGGCUGAUGCUUUAAGCCGGCUAGGCUCUCAGCGAAAGCCGGUGCCGCCUAACACUUUCCUGGAUAUCCUGUAUAACCCUUCGGUUAAGUUGCCUACAGAGGAAGACUUGGCUAUUCCUGACCCGGAAGCACGACUGGUGGCGGCUCUUCAUGUCAUACCAGACUGGACAAUGCCAUAUCUGGCUUAUAUAACCCGGGGAGAGUUGCCUGAGGAUGAAACUUUGGCCAGGCAAAUAACCCGGCGGGCUAAGUCAAUGGUCGUCAUCGAUGGCGAGUUACAUCAUCGCAGUGUUUCAGGGGCAUUUCAAUGUUGUAUCUCCCCUGAGGAAGGCCAAGAGAUCUUGCGGGAGAUCCAUGAAGGGGAUUGUGGCCAUCAUGCCGGCUCAAAAUCCCUUGUAGCCAAGGCUUUCCGUCAUGGUUUUUAUUGGCUGACGGCUCAUGCUGAUGCAGAGGACUUGGUCAGUAAAUGUGAUGGUUGCCAAAGGUUCUCACGACGGGCUCAUGUGCCGGCUCAGGAGUUGAGGAUGAUCCCAAUCACUUGGCCCUUUGCGGUCUGGGGGCUUGAUAUGGUUGGGCCUUUUAAACGGUCCAAGGAUAAGAAGACCCACCUCUUGGUGGCAGUUGACAAAUUCACAAAGUUGGUGGAAGCUGAGCCAGUUAGCAAGUGCGAUGCAGCCACGGCAGUUCAAUUUAUGAAAAAGGUGAUUUUCCGCUUUGGUUUUCCACACAGCAUUAUAACUGACAAUGGCACCAAUCUCUCCAAAGGCGCCAUGGAAGAAUUUUGUCAACGAGAGCAUAUCCGACUUGAUGUUUCAUCAGUGGCUCAUCCUCAAUCCAGUGGUCAGGCUGAGAGAGAUAACCAGGAAAUUCUGAAGGGUAUCAAGCCCCGGCUCUUGGUCCCUUUACAACGGACGCCGGGUUGUUGGGUGGAGGAGUUGCCUUCCGUCUUAUGGAGCAUCAACACUACUCCUAACAGGUCUACAGGCUUCACGCCUUUCUUCAUGGUUUAUGGAGCAGAAGCAGUCCUCCCCAGCGACAUCCGUCACGAUUCACCUCGCGUGGCGGCUUAUGUUGAGACGGAUAAUGAACAGGCGCGCCAAGAUGCUCUGGACUUGUUGGACGAACAGCGUGAUGUGGCAGCAGCCCGUUCAGUGAUUUACCAACAAGACCUGCGCCGUUAUCAUAGCCGCCGGGUCAAAUCCCGGGUCUUCCAGGAAGGCGACCUUGUGCUCCGGCUCAUCCAGGAUCAAACAGAUGCACACAAGUUAUCCCCACCUUGGGAAGGGCCCUUUGUGGUCAGCAAGAACUUGCACAACGGGUCAUAUUACCUCAUUGAUAUUCGGGAGCAUAAAGAUUCACGUAAAUCUGAGGAAGAGACCCGUCGGCCGUGGAACAUAGCUCAGCUUCGGCCUUACUACACUUGAGCUACCGGCUCUCGUGGUGUGCAUAUUUAUCUCAGCCAUGUAUAUAUUAUGAUAAGCAAUAAAGCAGGACCUCUGUCCUUUUUUCUCCUCCAAAUAUGCGUGUGUUGUUUUUUCUUACAAGAUUGCAUGCUGACUUAAAGGAGGAUCCGGCUUAUGAUCGUAUUCGAAUCUAGCCGUAAGCAGUAAAGUCACUUGGGGGCUUCCUGUUCAAACAUGGGUCGUAUUCGAACCAAAGAGAACAUAGCUGUCGAUACCCAUUUGAUUGGCAAAGUGCCGAGCUCAUUGGGAGGUUGCCUUUGGUCAUAUUUGAAUCAUAGUUUAACCCCUCUGAGAACCGACAUGGAUCGUAUUCGAAUCAGCAUCGUUAAACAAUCUUAAGAAUCACUUGGGGGCUUCCUGUUCAAACAUGGGUCGUAUUCGAACCAAAGAGAACAUAGCUGUCGGUACCCUCUUGAUUGGCAUCGCCACACCCACUGGGGGCUAUAUGAUCGUAUCCGAAUCUUGGCUUAACCCCUUGGGGCCGGGUCUCUGGUCGUAUUCGAACCGGAAACCCCUAAGUUCUUCACAAGUUUACUCUGAGGUGUGCACGGCCGGGUCUCACUUGCCGGCUUAACUUUGGUUUACAGUGUUAGUUACACGUCAUGGGUGUCAUCAAGGCAAGUAAAUCAGAGUUAAGGUAUCAACCUUACUGCCCUGGUUAUUUAAACCGGAGGUAUACUUACAGGCCGUUAAGUGUGAUUGUUACGGCUAUGUUCAGAGUAUAAUUAAGGACCAGUCUUUUUUGAUUCAUAUUCCGGGUUAUCUAUUUCAAACACCUGAUUCUCAGGGCGGUAAGCCGCCUCGAGACCUGUGAUUUGCCUUUCUAUGCAGAUACUUAAAGGCACCUUUUAAGGUUGAGAAAAACACAGGGAUGAUUAUAACCCGGAGAAACAUCAAAGAGACAAAUUUAAAGGGCUUUAGCAUUCAAAACGUGCACGACGGCACAACAGAGAUAAACUGUUUGCACCUACUCUAUUACAAUAAUUCUUCAAGUCUAAAAGAUGGAACAAUGUUUGAUAAGCCGCCAGCUAAAUUAUGAUGCCCGCUGAGUUGAAGUCCCUGGCUCAUUCCUGUCUUCUCCUCCGGCUGAUCCCAAGACCUCGAAAGUUGAUGAUUUCCAGUCGAUGCCGCUGAGAGCUUCGAACUGGGCUUCUUCGUCAAUUAACCCGGCCGGGUCAAUCUCGGGGGCGAAGGUGUGCUGACGAGCCGGAGGGAUCAGAUUGAGGGCUUCAUAGCGAGGGGUUGGAAUCCUCUGAUUCUCCGCAUCAUAACCCCGCUGGUACUUGGUCAAGUCGGUGUCGUUCCCGAUGAGGGUGGCCACCGGGCGUACAGCCUUCACACAUGCCGCGAAGUCCUUCUGGUCGAAGGCUGAGCCGUCUUCCUUCAGGCUUGGGUAACCCAGGGCGAUGUCUGCCGGGUCUAGCUCCGGCAGGAAUGCUUUGGCCCGGCUCAGCGCGGCGAUUGCUCCGGCUCUCGUGGAGGCCCGUCGUAGCUCCUGGAUCCGUUGCGGUAGAAUAGCGAGCCGACACAGGACUUCAGCCAGAUGAGUUGGCACCUCGUUGGAUAGGGCCACCACAGCUAAGGCGCGCUGUGACCCGGUGUAGAGCUGUUCCACCAGGGUGUACACGGCCUUUAACUUGGUGACCACGCUCUGGUUGUGGUUGGCACUCCUGGGACCUGUUUAACAAGAUCAGAUAAGCCGGUGACAAGGAUGAAUCAUGACAUAUACAGACUUGAUGAAAGCCGGUGAAGCGACUUACCGAAGAUAGCAGCCACCAUUUGGGAAACCUGGCUCUUUAGGCCGGAGAGCUCGGCGGUCUUCUCAGCGAGAGCCUUCUCCGCCUGUUCCGCCCGGGUCACCAGUGCGGCCUUCUCUUCGACCCAGGCUUUCCUCUCAGCGUCAAACUCGGUCUUUAAUUUUUCUUGAGUGGCGAUGCUGGAUACAAACUUGGCGUUUGCCUUCGGGUCUCCAUCUCCUGCAUCUUCAGCCGGCUCUUGAGAUCCGCAAGAUCCGCCUCUAGUUUCUUGCCAACAGCCUGCAUAUAUUUCCGGGUUAGUUAACAGUCAUUAUAUAAGUCCCAAGCGUUUUCCAAGCAAAGACACUUGGCACUUGGGGGCUAAUGCAUAUUGAACGUAUCUAUCUACAUACUGCCGGCUCAGUUGAGUAAGCCGGAACCUAAGUCUACAACAUAUUCAAGUAUAAGUCGUCGACUUGGGGCUAGCAUGGCAAAGGUAAAUAUGCAGCAAAGUAAGAAGACAGCAGAAGGAUACCUCAGAUUUUUGUUGGAUCUGGUUGACCAUGGCAACCUCGGCGUCCCGGCUCUUGUGUACUUGGCUGAUGUAGCCAGAGACGAGCUCUCCAAUGCUCAAGUCGGUGUAGCCGGAGAGGUCCAGGUUCACCCGGUGGGGCUGCAGCAACUCCCCCUUCGCGGAGCAUUUGGCCAACGCGGUCGGUCUCCCCGGCUCAACGAAUUCCGUCCGGGUGAUUACCACGUCCGGGUCGUCUGCUGGUGGAGCUGAGCCGGAGGCCUCCGGGUUAACCGAAGCUUCGGUCGUUACCUUGGUAGUCGGAGCAGGGGCCUCAGGCGCCGUGUCCAUUGGAGUGGUGGCUUCGGGGGUGGAGGCAGCUGGCGGCUCUUGAGCCGUCGCCUCCGGGUCAGGCAAGUCUGGCACUCCAGCUGACCUGGUCUUCUUUGCUCUUUUGGUGAGCUUUGCCUGGGCACUGAAAAGACAGAAGUGUUAGGCACACAAAGAGUAAGUACAGAUAAAGAUAAUGUAAGAAGAUCGUUGUUACCCGGGCGCAGUCUUGAAGGCCGGCAGAUUUGACUGCAUGGAGUCACCCGAAGAGGGGGAGGUCUCCUGAUAAUUGGAGUCAGAAGAGUUGAGUGGCUGACGGAUAACACCCGCCAACGGAUGAAAAGGGUACAGGUGAGAAAAAACCUCAGUGCGACGCUUCCUUGUUGCGUCGGGUAACCCGGCGGAGAGGUCAGUGUCCUUGCGGGCCCGGGUGUGACGCCGGCUUUCAUGAACCUGCUGCUUCAAAAGAAAUUGAGGGUCUUGAUGAGCUAACGGUUGUGAAAAGCUUACUUUCCGGGUUACUCUUCGGACUUUCAGCUAUGGCAAAAGCUCCGAGUCGGAGGAAAGUGACAUUACCUCUUCAACCACCGGGUUACUGGCGCCGGUGUCAUCCUGUCAAUGAGCAAAGUGUUGAUAAGGCGGACAGCAACAAACAACAAAUAUAGCAAGAAUUUAAAGGUUUAAGGGUUACCUCUGACUCGGAGCUGUCGCUUAAUUGCAUUAGCUCCGAAGCAGUGGGUCGGCUUCCCUUUUUGCGAGGGGCGGCUUUCUUGGCGGCUUUCUUCGCCUUCCUGGCCUUCUUGGCCGCUUCAUGGUCAUAUUUGACCCGCCAGAAUUUGUCAUCAGCCUGAAAGAUACAAUGAUUGAUUCUUAAAACAGUUCAGAUGAAGGUAAUAUGCAGACGAAGAUAAAAGUUAAAGUCAGCGGCUUACCGCUGGGGCUGGAUUGGUCUUGCAGAAGGGGGCUAACCCGGUUCUUCCGCAGUCUGCCAGGCUCUCGUUUAGAAGAGCCUUGGUCUCUUCCUCUGCAACGUCUUCUGGAAGAUCAUUGCGACUGUGCCUCUGCGGGUCAUCCUUUCGCCCGGUGUACUCACGCAUUAAGCCGGGGCGGCGGCUCAAUGGGAUCACCUGCCAUGAGAUCCAGACCCGGACCAGGUCAAUUCCGUUCAGACCGUUGCCUAGCAGGGCCUUGAUCUUAUUGAUAGUUGGAAGCAGAGGCUGGCGUUCCGCUGCAGUCAGUUUGUCCGACAGCGGAUUAGUCGGCUCUAGACGUGUUGGGCGAAAGCCGGGCAGCGGGUUCUCGUCAGCCGGGGACGUAUCUUGGCAGUAGAACCAAGUCAUAUUCCAGUCCUUGGGGUGGCUCGGCAGCUCUGCGUAAGGGAAAAGACAGUCCCUACGCCGCUGGAUGGAGAUGCCGCCUAACUCCAGACUUGGCCCGUUGGCACACUCAUUUCGGCGGUUUAAGUAGAACAGUUCUCUGAAAAGCAGCAAACUGGGUUCUUCUCCAAGGUACACUUCGCAAAAGACUUGGAAGUUGCAGAUGUUGGAUACGGAGUUGGGUCCUAUAUCCUGAGGCCGUAGGUCAAAGAAGUUGAGCACGUCCCUGAAAAACUUUGAGCCGGGCGGUGCGAAGCCCCGGCUCAUAUGGUCUGCGAAGAUCACUACCUCCCCGUCCCUUGGCUGUGGUCUCUCUUCCGACGGGUCAGGGGCACGGUAGGACAUGAUUUCCUUCUUAGGCAAAUAUCCGGACUUAACGAAAUUGGCCAGGGUCUCGUCGGUGACGUUGGACCUCAUCCAGUUGCAAGUGAUGGGAGCCUUGGGAGGCAUGGUGAAGGUUGGUGGUCUAUGAUAAAGAGAAAAGUGUCCGGGUUAAUUAUAAGCCGGAGAUCUAUCGUUCGAACUAAGAUGGCGGCUUAUGAAGGGGACUAAUGAUAUAUAUUCAGAUACGGUGGGUUAGUUAAGCCGGAAGAUUCUACAGAGCAUGGUUCUUUUUAAACCGGAAAGUUCUACGGCGCAUGUUUUCUUUAAGCCGGAAAUGUAAGCCGCCAAGAUUCAAUGGUUGCAGUUUUUACUAAGUGUGGUAAAACAGGUUUCGCAUACUAUCGUAACUUUUUUGGAUCAAAAUGGUCGGAGCAAAGAAAAUGUUCUAGACCUAAAAUGCGGACGCAGGGGAGUUCUUGAGCUCGAAGGAGAUCUUAUGCAGUGGAAAGAAGUGUGUUUUGCAGGUGAAAUGGGUAAUAAACAACUACUGCAGCAAGUAUAUACAUAUCUACGAUCAAACAAGGGUGGCAACUACAAGAACUACUGAGGCCCGCGGACAAUGGCGAAGAACACAGAUGAACUGUUUGAACUCUACCGCAGAUCUGUUCUAGCAAGGCAGAGGAGACUCACCGGAGUUGGAGAAGAGCGGAAGUCGCCGCCGUUUAUCUGGUCCGAGUCAGGGUGAUGUAGCGGCCGGGUUGAUGAAGAUCAGGGGCGCGACGGCGGCGGCAGUGGCAGAGCUCGGGCAGAGGAGCGAUGGCGCGAGGAGGAAGAAGAGAGCGUGAGAAGAGCCCGUUGGGCCGGCCUAUUUAUAAGGCGAGGUCAUAAGUGGGCGCGAGAUUCAAGGAGACCACGGCGUGGUUAUCUCCCCCCCCACGACGCCUCGAUUUUCGGAAUGACAGUAAAGGCAAAGAUCCGUUGCGGAUUUGGCGGGAUAAAAAACGGACUUAAUGGAGGAUGACGUCACAGCGGAUUAUCCGGAGUCCAGAGGAUGACGUCACUCCGGGUUAUGGCCUUCACAUGAAUGGUAAGCCGGAGAUUUUUUCUGUCAGAAGAGUUGAAGAUUGACAUGAGCCGGCUCAAAUCAAUCUGGGGCCUAAUGUUGAGGAUAUAGACCUUAGAGUCACCCGCCAGGAGGGGCCGGGUUACUCAUACGGUCGUUGCCAGAAGCCAGGAGCCAAGUUUCCAGACGAUGGGCCAGAUAUGGGCUGAGACCCGGAUAUGGCUUAAGGCCCGUAGUUAAAAUCAUUAUUAUAGUAGAACUUGUAGCGUAAGGCAAGUAUAGUUUAGAGUCCGAGCCGGACACUCUUAUGAGCCGGCCGGGACUCUAAAGGCUGCUGGGCGUGUUCCUCCCUAUAUAAAGGGACGACCCGGCAGCGGUUUGAGGGCGACAACAAUCUCAUCGAGAGCCGGGAAUAGCUGUUUAGCUCCUGGCGAUCGUAACCCCAAUCAAUAUCACCCCAAACUGGACGUAGGCUUUUACCUUCACCGUAAGGGGCCGAACCAGUAUAAACCCUCGUGUUCCUUGUCCCGCAUAACCCCUUCAAGCUUCCUAGUUGCGAUGGCUCCACGACUAAGUCCUAGCUCAAGGGCAUCUGCCGUGACAAUUCCACGACAGGGGGUAUGAACCAUAGAGAAGUUGGAAUACAGUAGGUUUAACACCAAUAUAAAUAAAGAAUGAGUUCAUUACAGUACCUUAAGGUGGUGGUUUAUUUUCUUAUACUAAUGGAGUUCAUGAGAUUUUCUGUUUAAGUUUUGUGUUGUGAAGUUUUAAGUUUUGAGUAAAGAUUUGAUGGAUUUUGGAAUAAGGAGUGGCAAGAGCCUAAGCUUGGGGAUGCCCAAGGCACCCCAAGGUAAAAUUCAAGGACAACCAAAAGCCUAAGUUUGGGGAUGCCCCGGAAGGCAUCCCCUCUUUCGUCUUCGUCUAUCGAUAACUUUACUUGAGGCUAUAUUUUUAUUCACCACAUGAUAUGUGUUUUGCUUGGAGCGUCUUCUAUGAUUAGAGUCUUUGCUUUUUAGUUUACCACAAUCAUCCUUGCUGUACACACCCUUUGGAGAGACACGCAUGAAUCGGAAUUUAUUAGAAUACUCUUUGUGCUUCACUUAUAUCUUUUGGACUAGAUAAUUUCGCUCUAGUGCUUCACUUGUAUCUUUUUAGAGCACGAUGGUGGUUUUAUUUUGUAGAAAUUAUUGAUCUCUCAUGAUUCACUUAUAUUAUUUUGAGAGUCUUUUAGAACAGCAUGGUAAUUUGCUUUGGCUAUAAAAUUAGUCCUAAUAUGAUGAGCAUCCAAGAUGGGUACAAUAAAAACUAUCAUAUAAAGUGCAUUGAAUACUAUGAGAAGUUUGAUUCCUUAUGAUUGUUUUGAGAUAUGAAGAUGGUGAUAUUAGAGUCAUGCUAGUUGAGUAGUUGUGAAUUUGAGAGAUACUUGUGUUAAAGUUUGUGAUUCCCGUAGCAUGCACGUAUGGUGAACCGUUAUGUGAUGAAGUCGGAGCAUGAUUUAUUUAUUGCUUGUCUUCCUUAUGAGUGGCGGUCGGGGACGAUCGAUGGUCUUUUCCUACCAAUCUAUCCCCCUAGGAGCAUGCGCGUAGUACUUCUUUUCGAUAACUAAUAGCUUUUUGCAAUAAGUAUGUGAGUUCUUUAUGACUAAUGUUGAGUCCAUGGAUUAUGCGCACUCUCACCCUUCCACCAUUGCUAGCCUCUCUAAUACCGUGCACCUUUCGCCGGUAUCAUACACCCACCAUACACCAAAACAGCCACCAUACCUACCUAUUAUGGCAUUUCCAUAGCCAUUCCGAGGUAUAUUGCCAUGCAACUUUCCACCAUUCCGUUUAUUAUGACACGCUCCAUCAUUGUCAUAUUGCUUUGCAUGAUCAUGUAGUUGACAUCGUAUUUGUGGCAAAGCCACCAUUCAUGAUUUUUCAUACAUGUCACUCUUGAAUCAUUGCACAUCCCGGUACACUGCCGGAGGCAUUCACAUAGAGUCAUAUUUUGUUCUAAGUAUUGAGUUGUAAUUCUUGAGUUGGAAGUAAAUAAAAGUGUGAUGAUCAUCAUUAUUAGAGCAUUGUCCCAGUGAGGAAAGGAUGAUGGAGACUAUGAUUCCCCCACAAGUUAGGACGAGACUCCGGGCGAAAAAAUAAAAUAAAAAAAAGAGGCCAUAAAAAAAAGAGAAAGGCCCAAAUAAAAAAAAUAAAAAGAGAGAAGGGACAAUGUUACUAUCCUUUUACCACACUUGUGCUUCAAAGUCGCACGAUGAUCUUCAUGAUAGAUUGUCUCCUAUGUUGUCACUUUCAUAUAUUAGUGGGAAUUUUACAUUAUAGAACUUGGCUUGUAUAUUCCAAUGAUGGGCUUCCUCAAAUUGCCCUAGGUAUUCGUGAGCAAGCGAGUUGGAUGCACACCCACUUAGUUUCUUUUGUUGAGCUUUCAUACACUUAUAGCUCUAGUGCAUCCGUUGCAUGGCAAUACCUACUCACUCACUGUCGGGGGAAACGACACCUAUGGGAUCAUAGAGAUCCCUUCUACGGUUGGCGGGCGCGAGGUUGUGCAAGGAGCGGGUCUAGUAGUUAGCACAAGGGGAUUUAUCCAGGUUCGGACCGCGGAGAUGCGUAAUACCCUAGUCCUGCUUUUGUGUAUAUCUGAGUGUUCUUGAGCUCUUGAACUAGCUACGGUGCCUGUCUAGCCCAAAAGAUCCGAAUCCUCCCUCAGUAUGCCUCGGGCCUCCUUUUAUAGUCAAAGGGGCUGCCACAGUGGCUCACAGGAGGUGGAAAGUAUAUACAGUAGUCGAGUCUAUCUCCUGGCAUCGUAGGACAAACACGUUUAAUGCGCUGCCGACGUGCCCUUCUUGCUUUAUCGGGGACGGCAAGGAAGCUCGUCCCAGCUGUCGCCGCCUCGCCUGGCCUCGACGCGCGUCUGAGCGGACGAGGCAUGUGGUGCCACGUUGGCUGGCUGCUGAGUUGGUGCGAUGGCAGAGUCUUCACGAAGAUCUGCAUGCCACCACGCAGGUGCUUGCUGAGUUGGCCUAGAGGCCGCACGUUGCCACGCAGGUGCUCGCCUAGUUGGUGGGCCGGCGGCUGUGAGGGAACGACGGUGGAGUCUUGGCUGGUGGGGGCCUGGCUGUGGCCCCACGGAUGUCUUUGGCAAGAGUCUUGCUGGGGCCCCGGCAAGGGUCUUGUCGCGGCGUUGUAGGCGUACCCGGCAAGGGUCUUGCCGGGGGGGUCUCGUGGGUACCCUCGGCAAGGAUCUUGCCAAGGAUCUUCGUCUUCGGAUUCUCAUCUAAUCUUGUAUGUUCUUUGUCUUCACAAAGAUCUGCAUGCCACCAUGGAGGCGCCUCCCGAGCUUUGGUUCCAAUGUGGUUGAGGGCGUCGGAACUCUUAGGCUCAAGGGUGGCAGCCCUGCUGGCGUUGGGCAAGUUGCCCCGGCAAGGUUCUUGCCGGGGCACGGCUCUGGUCGUCUUGUGUCUUUGCUUCCUCUGCCCCGCCUAGCGUGGCCAUCGGUCUCGUGGCUGCAACUGCCCGCGCACAAGUAAAGGGGUACAAAUAGGCCCCCUACUUUUGUACACCGACAGGAUGUUGGACAUAUGCCCUAGAGGCAAUAAUAAAUGGUUAUUAUUAUAUUUCUUUGUUCAUGGUAAUCGUCUAUUGUUCAUGCUAUAAUUGUGUUAUCCGGAAAUCGUAAUGCAUGUGUGAAUACAUAGACCACAACGUGUCCCUAGUAAGCCUCUAGUUGACUAGCUCGUUGAUCAACAGAUAGUCAUGGUUUCCUGACUAUGGACAUUGGAUGUCAUUGAUAAUGGGAUCACAUCAUUAGGAGAAUGAUGUGAUGGACAAGACCCAAUCCUAAGCAUAGCUCAAAGAUCGUGUAGUUCGUUUGCUAGAGCUUUUCCAAUGUCAAGUAUCUUCUCCUUAGACCAUGAGAUCGUGCAACUCUCGGAUACCGUAGGAGUACUUUGGGUGUGCCAAACGUCACAACGUAAUUGGGCGACUAUAAAGGUACACUACGGGUAUCUCCGAAAGUGUCUGUUGGGUUGGCACGGAUCGAGACUGGGAUUUGUCACUCCGUAUAACGGAGAGGUAUCUCUGGGCCCACUCGGUAAUGCAUCAUCAUAAUGAGCUCAAUGUGGCUAAGGAGUUAGUCACGGGAUCAUGCAUUGCGGUACGAGUAAAGAGACUUGCCGGUAACGAGAUUGAACAAGGUAUUGGGAUACCGACGAUCGAAUCUCGGGCAAGUAACAUACCGAUUGACAAAGGGAAUUGUAUACGGGAUUGAUUGAAUCCUCGACAUCGUGGUUCAUCCGAUGAGAUCAUCGUGGAACAUGUGGGAGCCAACAUGGGUAUCCAGAUCCCGCUGUUGGUUAUUGACCGGAGAGGCGUCUCGGCCAUGUCUGCAUGUCUCCCGAACCCGUAGGGUCUACACACUUAAGGUUCGGUGACGCUAGGGUUGUAGAGAUAUGAGUAUGCGGAAACCCGAAAGUUGUUCGGAGUCCUGGAUGAGAUCCCGGACGUGACGAGGAGUUCCGGAAUGGUCCGGAGGUGAAGAAUUAUAUAUAGGAAGUCAAGUUUCGGCCACCGGGAAAGUUUCGGGGGUCACCGUAUUGUACCGGGACCACCGAAAGGGUCCCGGGGGUCCACCUAUCCCGGAGGGCCCCAUGGGCUGAAGUGGGAAGGGAACCAGCCCUUAGUGGGCUGGGGCACCCCCCAUGGGCCUUCCCCCUGCGCCUAGGGUUGGAAACCCUAGGGUGGGGGGGGGGCGCCCCACUUGCCUUGGGGGGCAAGUCUCCCCCCUGGCCGCCGCCCCCCCAUGCAGAUGGGUUCCUGGCCGGCGCCCCCCUCCCAGGGGGCCUAUAUAAAGGGGGGGAGGGAGGGCAGCAACACAACAGCCUUUGGCGCCUCCCUCCUCCCCUGCAACACCUCUCCCUCUCGCAGAAGCUCGGCAAAGCCCUGCCGAGAUCCCGCUACAUCCACCACCACGCCGUCGUGCUGCUGGAUCUCCAUCAACCUCUCCUUCCCCCUUGCUGGAUCAAGAAGGAGGAGACGUCGCUGCUCCAUACGUGUGUUGAAUGCGGAGGUGCCGUCCGUUCGGCACUCGGUCAUCGGUGAUUUGGAUCACGGCGAGUACGACUCCAUCAACCUCGUUCAUUGGAACGCUUCCACUCGCGAUCUACAAGGGUAUGUAGAUGCACUCUUUCCCCUUGUUGCUAGUAUACUCCAUAGAUGGAUCUUGGUGAGCGUAGGAAAAUUUUAAAAUUCUGCUACGAUCCCUAACACAGGAGCCCCCGGGCCUGAGCCACAUAUAAGCGCAGAGCGUUAUUGGGCCGGGCCCAGAACAGUGCGCGGACGCGUGCGUGCCGGAGUUUUACCGCAGUAACUCCCCUUGCCCGUUGCGCUUCCCCACGACCCACGUUGAAUGCGCGACGUGGGGGUCGUGCAUGACAUGGGGGUCAUGCGUGGGGCGGUUCCUGCACGCGUGCGUCACAUCGUGGUAAAUGGUAAAGAGGCGGCCCGCGCCUUCCCCAUAAAAAGGAAAAACCGCAGGCGCGCUGCUUGUUUACCCUCUAUGCCUCUUCCAAUCUCAGAACUGCCAUUCCCCUUUUCUUUCUCCAGCGAAAGAUUCGAAGCUCUCGCCUCUGCUUGCUGCCACUGCGCCCCCGUUGCUCUUGAUCCUUCGCCAUCUCCCAGCCGCCAUGGCACCCAAAACCGGUAAGGGCAAGGGAGCGGCCAAGUACGCCGGGGAGAAGGAGGCGCCGGAGAGCGAGUCGGCGGCGCGGCGGAUGCAGCUCGCCUACUUCCCUUUGACGAUCAAUGCGGUCCACCUCAAGGACUACCUUUUGCCCCUAUAGGGGAGGAAGACAAUGGGGCACCCUGCCACGCGCGUCGUUCCCGCCGAUUUCGCCAAGGCCGGCCCAAAUCGGUACACCUUCUUCAUCAAUUUCUUCUCUUGCGGGCUCUGCCCCCUUUUUCUGGCUUCUUCAACGACGUCAUGCACACCUACGACUUCCAUCUUCUGGAUCUUACGCCGAAUGCCGUGGCGUGCAUGGCUUUCUUUGCCCACCUCUGUGAGGGCUUUGCCGGAGUGCUCCCCAGCAUGGCGCUCUUCCGCCACUCCUUCUCCCCUCGCCUUCAGCUAGGGGGCGCCAUCUCCGGCUGCAUCACCUGGAUCCUGAGGACCCAGGAGAAGGGCACGUAUCCGAAGGGUGCUCAGAAGGAGAGGUGGGAGGAAUGGCGGAGCCGGUGGUGCUGGAUCGAGGACGACCCGCAGGAGUUCUGCCGGGUUCGUCAGAGCCCGCCGACCCGCCGCCGGGACUGGAGUGAUCUCGACGCCAAUGACGAGAAGCUCACGGUCGCCACCACCAGGAUCCAUCGCCUCACCAUGGCCGGGCUCACCCUCGAGAUGAUCGGGGCCGACUUCAUCUGGCGCCGAAUUGCCCCGCUGCACAACAAGGGGAGGCCGGCCUGGGGUUUCAGGAACGCGGCCGACAUCAUGAGGCUCCGCCCUGGUCUGAAGCACAACUUUAUGAUGAUGGGGCACGCCCACUUUUGCCGAAGGCUCUUUCAGCUCAACGUGGAUGGCGACGGCAGAGUUGAGAGGACCGGCAGGGCCGCGAAGGCUGGCAAGGCCGUCAAGGGGCCCUUGUUUGGGUUGCCGGCGGGAGUGGUCCCGCUGAGCAACAACUCUUGCCAAUCCGCCAUCAUCGCCAUGAUGCCGGACUUCAAUGCGCAUGGCCUUGACCCGGCCUGGGCCGAGCCGCCAGCAGAGAAGGUGCAGGAGUUCUUCGACACUUUUUCGGAGAGCUAUGUCUGUGACGAACCGCUGCUCAUCCAAGACACCACCAAGGCAGAGCUGGACUACAUCACCGCGAGGGUGGCGGAUGCGGCGCUCGCUAGGGAGGCCGGCAGCGCUGGCACCGCGGAGGAUGAGGCCGACGCGGCUGCGGAGGAGAGGGAGAUCACCCAGUGGGCAGAGUCUGCCGGGGAGGCCAGCGGCGCCGGCGCCGAGGCCCCCUUGUCGAAGACGCGGGCAACGAGUCGUCCGAAGAGGAGGUCGAGGCGAACGACCCCCCGGCCACAGGGAGGCGGUGCGUCCUGCGACGGGCCAGCUCUGGCGAGCCGGUUGGGCCUGGCAGGACCAUGCCGUGGCAGCCGGCCCAGGAGCAGCUCGUGCGUCAGACGAGGGCGAUGAAGGUCGCGGCAACGAAGAAGGCGGUGAAGGCCGCGACGGUGAAGAGGACAACGACUGCUUCCUCCUCGUCCAAGCGGCACCGGACCCCAUCCCCUUAUCCUCCUCCCUCGGACAGCACCUUGGAGGCCGAGUUUGACCUUGAAUCUUUUAGCCCGGCGAGGAAGAGGAAGCUAGUGGAGGAGGAGGUGGAGGACGAGUAAGUAUUUCGCCCCCCACAUCAUCUCCUGACCUUACACCUGUGUUAUCCUCAUUUGACUUGAUGUUGUCUUGACAGGGACGCGGAGACGCUGGCCCAGAGGGUGGCGAAGAGGGCCAAAACCUCGACGGGCGACGGGUCCCCGGCGGGUACUUCGCGCAUGCCGGUGUUGGUGGAUAGCAGCCCGGACAGCAGCCCCUGGCGUAGCCCCCGCUUCAGCCCCCAGCGUGAGUCCAUCACUCACUCCUCCACUGAUGAACAUUGGGGUGUGAAUUCUCGACACUGACCUUGCCGGGUUCGCAGGAGGAGAACGGCAGCAGGAGGAGCCGCCGAGGGCCACUCCCAACACACCGCCCCCUCGACUACGGCGCCCAGAGGGGCGUCCCUGGCAAGGGCAUCCACCACCGAGCCCACACAUAUGGAGGAGGAGGGGGCGAGCUCGGGUGCCGAUGGUUCUGCCCCGGCAACGAAUGUUGGCGGGGAGGGCGCCACUUCUUCCCAGCCUGGUGCGGGUAAGUUGUUUGCUUUCUGCCCCUGUUCUUUCUUAUUCUUUUUGAACCUUGACCUUUCCCCUGUCUUAUUCCACUUCUUGGUAUCCAGGCCCUUCGUCAGUGGACCGGGAGGACAUUGACACCGUGAUUGAAGAGGUCGCCAGGGACGCCGAGGCUGAGGCAGACAAGAUCGCCGCCUAGGAGGCAGCCAAAACCACCGCUGAGGAUGCCGCCAAGGGGCCUACCGGGGAGGCCGACAAGGCUGCUGCCGAGGGGGCCGACAAGGGGCCUGCCGGAGAGGCCGGCAAGGCCGCUGCCGAGGAGGGGGUGGUAGACGACCAACCUUCCUCUGCCGCAUCUGGCUCGGGCAAUGUGACGCCCCGGAUCCGAUACGCCAGGUGUCUGCCAGUUAUUCGCUGUCGUUGCCAUGUCAUCUGCGUGCGUGUUGCAUUUUGCCAUGUCAUCAUCUUCAUUUCAUAUCAUGUCAUCAUGUGCUUUGCAUUUGCAUACGUGUUCGUCUCUUGAAUCCGAGCAUUUUCCCCGUUGUCCGUUUUGCAAUCCGGCGCUCCUAUCUCCUCCGGUGCACCCCUUUUGUCUUCUUCUCGUGUGCGAGUGUCAAACCUUCUCGGAAUGGGCCGAGGCUUGUCAAGUGGCCUUGGUAUACCACCGGUAGACCACCGGUCAAGUUUCGUUCCAUUUGGAGGUCGUUUGGUACUCCAACGGUUAACCGGGUAACCGCGAAGUCCGUUUUGGUAUUGCAGCAAAACCCCCCUUCAAACAGUCCCAAAACCCCUCUAAGUCCAUGCCAUGCUCUCGGUCGUUUGAUCACGAUCGCGUGGGCGAAAACCGCACCUCGUUUGGACUCUCCUAGCUCCCUCUACCUAUAUAUGUGUGCCCUCCCGAGAUUCGCGGAUGAAACCCUAAAUUUUCCUCCCUCACCGCACCGGACAUGUCCGUCCCGGACCGGACGAACUGCGCCGCCCACCUCGUCCACUCGCCGCCCGCCACCUGUCGCCUCCGCCGCCUCCCUCCACCGCGGCCCGCGGGGCCCGAAGCAGGCCCGCGCNNNNNNNNNNNNNNNNNNNNNNNNNNNNNNNNNNNNNNNNNNNNNNNNNNNNNNNNNNNNNNNNNNNNNNNNNNNNNNNNNNNNNNNNNNNNNNNNNNNNNNNNNNNNNNNNNNNNNNNNNNNNNNNNNNNNNNNNNNNNNNNNNNNNNNNNNNNNNNNNNNNNNNNNNNNNNNNNNNNNNNNNNNNNNNNNNNNNNNNNNNNNNNNNNNNNNNNNNNNNNNNNNNNNNNNNNNNNNNNNNNNNNNNNNNNNNNNNNNNNNNNNNNNNNNNNNNNNNNNNNNNNNNNNNNNNNNNNNNNNNNNNNNNNNNNNNNNNNNNNNNNNNNNNNNNNNNNNNNNNNNNNNNNNNNNNNNNNNNNNNNNNNNNNNNNNNNNNNNNNNNNNNNNNNNNNNNNNNNNNNNNNNNNNNNNNNNNNNNNNNNNNNNNNNNNNNNNNNNNNNNNNNNNNNNNNNNNNNNNNNNNNNNNNNNNNNNNNNNNNNNNCGUGCCCCGGCCGGUCCCCUCCUUCCCCGGCGGCCUCCCGAGCUCCGGCGCCCUUCUGCUCCGGCGAGCCGGCCCCGCCUCGGACUUGCAGCGCCAGAUCCAGUGAGAACCCCCCCGCGUUGACUUUUUCCCUUAGCCCCGAAAUAUCUCCAAGUCCCCAGAUUUUGUUAUUAUAUGUGCAUGUUCAACUGUGUGUAACUUCAUGCAUGUAGCUCCAAUUCACGCGUAUAAUAUUUCAAAUUGUUCGCCUCGUGAUGCUCUUCAUUUUGUUCAAUUGCACCAUGCUCAUUUGAGUCCAUCUUGAUGCCCAAAUCAUCGUUGCAAGAGUGCUAGUUGCUGUUAAUCUCUGGUUCUUAUCAGAACUUGGAGAUUUGUCAUUUUUGUAUCAUUUAUUCUGUGCAUCUUUUGAGCAUGAGCUCUACAUGUGUUUUGAAGUAUGCCAUGCCAUCUUUCCAGUGGUUUAGUCCAUGUAUUUUUGUGAUCCCUGUGGUGACUAGCACAAGCAUGCAAAGUAGGCCCCAUAAUAUGUCUGAUUUCAGGGACUUAGUGAUUUCUCCAAGUCCUUGUCUGCUGUAAUUUUGUUGCCAUGUAAACUUGAUGUUACAGAGAGAUCCAUGCAUAUUUUGGAGAUGUUCAUUAAGGAUGUUUUGUAGAUAUAGUUGUAAUUGAUCCAUUCCUGUCCUUGUUUGCAAUUAUGGGGUGCCAUAGCAUGACUCAAUCUUGCUCUACUUUUGCUAUAAAAUAUUUCUGGCAGAUUCUUAACAUGACAUGCAUUUUCGCCAAGCUUAUUGUAAUUGAUCCAUGCAUGCUAUGCUAUUGCCCUUGCCAUGGUUAGCUUCAUAAACAUGCCAUCAUGCUGUAGGUGUGCUUGGUUUGUCAUGCGUUGCUCUGUAGUGAGUGCAUCAAGCUCACAAAGAGGCCUACAUAUUAAUAUUUCUGCCAUGCUCUGUUUUCUGCUAAGUCUGAAACCUGUUAACGAAACUUGCUAUGUUUACAUGCUUUCCAUCAUAUCUUCUGGUCCUUUUUAGCUUAUGGUCAGUAAGAGACAUGUUUUAUAUGCUUUGAGUAGAUUCAUUCCAUGCCUUUCUUUGCUAUGUUAAGUUCAUGUAGCAUGUUGUUAUCAUGCUCUGAACAUUGCAACCUGAUGUUAUUUCUGCCAUGUCCAGUACUUUCACCAAGUCUGUGAAUCUGUUAUUAUUUUGCAAUCUUGCCAUGUCCUUUUGCGCAUGUUCUAGUGAUUUCUGGAGAUAGCUCAGUGUUCAUGUUUUGUUGUGCUUUACCUGUACAUCUUGUCCAUGUCUUUUGUUUAUAUGUUGAGUUGCUGUAGCAUAUUGUUUUGAUGCUUGCAUUAUGCCUAGUUGCUGUUUUGGCAGAUUGUUGCUAUGCCUUGUUUGGAGUGUAUGUGUUGCACCGUUGCUCCGUUUUGAGCGUGCUCCUUAUGAAACUUGCUUAGAUUUGCAUGUAGCUUCAUUUUAUCAUGUUGCAUCAUUGUCGUGAGGUGUUUGCUUGAUGGUUGUAUGCUUUUUGCAUCAAUGCCAUGUUUAUCUUGUCUUGCUCAUAUCUUCUAGGUCGUAACUCCGAAUCUAAUGAACCUUAUAUGUAACUUGACUAGAAUUUCGUGUAGAUCAUCAUGGUGCUCUUUAACUUGCUGUUUAACAACUUCAACUUAAUGCUUGUUCAGUUCUGGACUAAUUUCGAAAUUUGCAUAUGAGGACUUACCGGAAUUGUUAUAUGUUGUUUCCGGCCUCAUUUAAACUUGCCUGGAUGUGUUGUUCUUGUAUGCAUCAUCUCUUGUCAUGAGUAGCUUCAUAUAGCUUUGUCAUGCAUCAUUCUUGGUUGAGCAUCAUGUCUUGUUCAUGUGUGGUGUGUUUACCUUGUUGUGUGCUCCUUCUCGAUAGUUCCCGUGUCGUUGCGAUCGUGAGGAUUCGUUCGUCUUCGUGGCUUCAUCUUCUUCAUGGAUUCGUUCUUCUUCCUAGCGGGAUUUCAGGCAAGAUGACCGUCACCUUGGAUCUCAUUACUAUCAUUGCUAUGCUAGUUGCUUCGUUCUAUCGCUUUGCCGCGCUACCCAUUCAUUUGCUCCUCUAGCCUCCUAAUUGCCAUGAACCUCUAACCUUUGACACCCUUCCUAGCAAACCGUUGUUUGGCUAUGUUACCGCUUUGCUCAGCCCCUCUUAUAGCGUUGCUAGUUGCAGGUGAAGAUGAAGAUUGCUCCAUGUUGGAUUAUGUUUAUGUUGGGAUAUCAUAAUAUCUCUUAUUUUAUUAAUGCAUCUAUAUAUCUUGGUAAAGGGUGGAAGGCUCGGCCUUAUGCCUGGUGUUUUGUUCCACUCUUGCCGCCCUAGUUUCUGAUAUACCGGUGUUAUGUUCCCGGAUUUUUGCGUUCCUUACACGGUUGGGUGAUUUAUGGGACCCCCUUGAUAGUUCGCCUUGAAUAAAACUCUUCCAGCAAGGCCCAACCUUGGUUUUACCAUUUGCUCAGCCUAUUUCUUUUCCCUAGGGAGUCGCUCUCUCAAGGGUCAUCUUAUUUUAACCCCCCCGGGCCAGUGCUUCUCUAAGUGUUGGUCCGAACUGAGUAGACUGCGGGGCCACCUCGUGGAAACUCGAGGUCUGGUUUUACUCGUAGGAUGUCUCAUCCGGUGUUGCCCUGAGAACGAGAUAUGUGCAGCUCCCAUCAGGAUGUCGGCGCAUCGGGCGGCUUUGCUGGUUUUGUUUUACCAUUGUCGAAAUGUCUUGUAACCGGGAUUCCGAGACUGAUCGGGUCUUCCCGGGAGAAGGAAUAUCCUUCGUUGACCGUGAGAGCUUAUCAUGGGCUAAGUUGGGACACCCCUGCAGGGUAUUAUCUUUCGAAAGCCGUGCCCGCGGUUAUGUGGCAGAUGGGAAUUUGUUAAUAUCCGGUUGUAGAGAACUUGACACUUGACCUUAAUUAAAACGCAUCAACCGCGUGUGUAGCCGUGAUGGUCUCUUCUCGGCGGAGUCCGGGAAGUGAACACGGUUUCUGGGUUAUGUUUGCCGUAAGUAGGAGUUCAGGAUCACUUCUUGAUCAUUGUUAGUUUCACGACCGUUCCUUUGCUUCUCUUCUCGCUCUUAUUUGCAUAAGUUAGCCACCAUAUCAUGCUUAGUCGCUGCUGCAACCUCACCACUUUAUCCUUUCCUUUCCCCUUAAGCUUUGCUAGUCUUGAUACCCAUGGUAAUGGGAUUGCUGAGUCCUCGUGGCUCACAGAUUACUACAUCACCGGUUGCAGGUUCAGGUUAUGUGAUGAUCAUGACGCGAGAGCGAUGUUCGCUUGUUUUGGAGUCCUUCUUCUGCUUCUUCUUCGAUCAGGGGAUAGGUUCCAGGUCGGCAGCCUGGGCUAGCAGGGUGGAUGUCGUUUGAGUUUCUGUUCAUGUUUCAUCCGUAGUGGGAUGUUGAUCUUAUGUAUGAUGUGUUGAUGUAUUCUUGCGGCAUUUGUAUGCCCUGUAUGUAUCCCCAAAUAUUAUGUAAUGUUGAUGUAAUGAUAUCCACCUUGCAAAAGCGUUUCAAUAUGCGGUUCUAUCCUUGGUGGGGCCUUCGAGUCUCUUUAGGAUAGUAUCGCAUAUUGGGCGUGAUAGGCAAGUACUUGAAGGUGGUCGACGACCUAUUUGUCCACCUCCCGGGAACGGCGAGCACCAGGGCGGCAACCGAGGGGGAGGUGUUCGAUGACGAGGCGCUCGCGGCCGCCGGGCUUGAGGUUGUUGACGAACCGAGUGCCGGUGGCGGCAGUUCCCAAGAGGAGCAGCUCCUUCGGGCCAUGAGCGUCAACUUCCAAAAGCUCCAGGCGCUCCAUCGUGCCUGCCUGGACAAGGCAAAAUCCAGGAUGGCGGCGGUGGACAAGGCGGAGACGGAUCUCGAGGAGCGUGUCGCCAAGACGCAGACCUGGUUCCGCAAGGCCCAUGAAGAAAUGAAGGUUGCCGAGGAUCUGCUGGCUGAGCGCAAACAGGAGCUCAUCCUGAAGCAGGCUGAUGUCGAGAAAGCCCAGGAGGCGGCGAAGGAACAGGCCGCCAAGGACGAGGCCGCUCGGCACCAGCACCAGGCCGAGCUGAACUACCAGGAGGAGGACCUUGCCGCUCGUGAGGAGGCACUUGCCGCCACACUCCGCGGCAAGGAUGAGGAGGUCGAGAAGCUCGUCGCGCAGCGGACCCAGGAGCUGGAGCAGAGGCACAAGGAGGCACUCAAUGCUCAAGCCCUGGUCCAUGCCGGCAAGGUGAAGGAGCUGGAGGUGGAGCGGGAUGGGCUGAAAAAACAGGUCCUGGAGCUGACGAAGGAGAAGGACACAAUCAACAACGCUUUGGUGGAGGCGCAGGCCGCAGUCCUCGGCAAGGCCGAGCUGCUCUCCAAGGCCAAUGAAUCCAUCAAUGACCUGAAGCUGAAGCUGGAGGGCCUUGAGGGGACGCUUCCAGAGGUCAGGGCCCGGGAAGAGACCCUGACCAAGGACCUGGAGGAGGAGAGGCAGCUGCGGAGGAAUGAUGCCGCCGAACACAAGGAGUACGCGGAGGGCAUAAACCGUUGGGUCGAACGCCUCGCCGACGUCACCGGCAGGAUCACCACGAAGCUGGCUGCCAUGGGGAUGCCGAAUUUGAGGUACUCCCCGGAGCCGAACGUGAGCCCUAACGCCAAACUGACCCUGUUCUUCGAGGGCGUUCUUGGAGCCCUGGAGCAGCUCCGCUCUAACUGGGCAGCUUAUCUGGCCAACGAGUCCCGGAGGCUCUGCCGGGGCGCCCUGACUAAGGUGCUCACCAAGGUGGCGUUCUGGAACCCCACCGUCAACUUUGCCAACGCGUUGGAGAGCUUGCCGGAGGAGGCGGACCUCGUGGUGCUCAAGGAGCGUAUGAUGCCCAUCAUCGAUUGCGUCGACGGAGUUGAGAGGGUGGAGGGCCAGCGCCGAGACUAGGCACCCCAUUUCUCGUCACCGCUGCGAGUUCAAGACCAAGAAAAUUUUAUCUUAAGUUAGAACCGCAGCGAUUAUUUGAUGUAAUAUAACUCUGCAGUACUUUGAAAUGAUGCAUGUUAUUCUCCUGUUUGAUCUCUCUUUGUAUGUCCACCCUACGUUUAAUUGGAUAGGCUUGCCGGCGCGUAAACCCAGGCCACGGCGCCUUGAGGAUGGAUCCUCAAUAGCCUGUCGGGUGUGCUUGCUGCCAGGCAAACCACCUUACCGCUCUCAGCGCGGCCGCUUGAGCUGUUGAGCGGACUCGAAACAGAACAAGAGCAUUGCCAAUAGAGGAAAGGCCACCCUGCCGUUCUCGACGCGGCCGCUCGAACUGUUGAGCGGACUCGAAACAGGACAAAGGCGUUUCCAAUAGCGGAAGGGCCCCAUUACGUGCAGGUUUCCCACAUAAAGAGCGGGAUUUUCGAGCAGAAUAAUCUUAUAUAAAAAGGAAUUGCUUAAAGUUUUGCAUAACUUAGCUUUUCUGUCGUCGCGCGGACAGUCACUGUGUCUGCAAAUGAUGCCGCUCGAUCGGUCGUCUUCUUCCUUGGAGCAACGUCCACGAUGAAACCGCCAGGCUCAACCAGACCAGAUUUCCACAACUGCGCCCCUACCUGGCGCGCCAAAGAUGUCGGGGGAAACGACACCUAUGGGAUCACAGAGAUCCCUUCUACGGUUGGCGGGCGCGAGGUUGUGCAAAGAGCGGGUCUAGUAGUUAGCACAAGGGGAUUUAUCCAGGUUCGGGCCGCGGAGAUGCAUAAUACCCUAGUCCUGCUUUUGUGUAUAUCUGAGUGUUCUUGAGCUCUUGAACUAGCUACGGUGCCUGUCUAGUCCAAAAGAUCCGAAUCCUCCCUCAGUACGCCUCGAGCCUCCUUUUAUAGUCAAAGGGGCUGCCACAGUGGCUCACAGGAGGUGGAAAGUAUAUACAAUAGUCGAGUCAAUCUCCUGGCAUCGUAGGACAAACGCAUUUAAUGCGCUGCCGACGUGCCCUUCUUGCUUUAUCGGGGACGGCGAGGAAGCUCGUCCCAGCUGUCGCCGCCUCGCCUGGCCUUGACGCGCGUCUGAGUCGACGAGGCGUGUAGUGCCAUGCUGGCUGGCUGGCUACUGAGUUGGUGCGGUGGCAGAGUCUUCACGAAGAUCUGCAUGCCACCACGUGAUACGUCUCCAACGUAUCUAUAAUUUAUGAAGUAUUCAUGCUAUUAUAUAUAUUCUGUUUUGGAUGUUUAAUGGGCUUUAUUAUACACUUUUAUAUUAUUUUUGGGACUAACCUAUUAACCGGAGGCCCAGCCCAAAUUGCUGUUUUCUUGCCUAUUUUAGUGUUUCAAAGAAAAGGAAUAUCAAACGGAGUCCAAAUGGAAUAAAACCUUCGGGAGAGUUAUUUUUGGAACAGAAGCAAUCCAGGAGACUUGGAGUAGACGUCAGGGAAGCUUCGAGGAAGCCACGAGGCAGGGAGGUGCGCCCUACCCCCUGGGCGCGCCCCCCAACCUCGUGGGCCCCUCGUGGCUCUCCUGACCGACUUCUUUCGCCUAUAUAUGUCCAUAUACCCUAAAAACAUCGAGGAGCAGAAUAGAUCGGGAGUUCCGCCGCCGCAAGCCUCUGUGGCCAUCAAAAACCAAUCGGGACCCUGUUCCGGCACCCUGCCGGAGGGGGGGAUCCCUCACCAGCGGCCAUGUUCAUCAUCCCGGCGCUCUCCAUGAUGAGGAGGGAGUAGUUCACCCUCGGGGCUGAGGGUAUGUACCAGUAGCUAUGUGUUUGAUCUCUCUCUCUCUCUCUCUCUCGUGUUCUUGAUUUGGCACGAUCUUGAUGUAUCGCGACCUUUGCUAUUAUAGUUGGAUCUUAUGAUGUUUCUCCCCCUCUACUCUCUUGUAAUGGAUCGAGUUUUCCCUUUGAAGUUAUCUUAUCGGAUUGAGUCUUUAAGGAUUUGAGAACACUUGAUGUAUGUUUUGCAUGUGCUUAUCUGUGGUGACAAUGGGAUAUUGACGUGAUCUACUUGAUGUAUGCUUUGGUGAUCAACUUGUGGGUUCAGUGACCUUGUGAACUUAUGCAUAGGGAUUGGCACACGUUUUCGUCUUGACUCUCCGAUAGAAACUUUGGGGCACUCUUUGAAGUUCUUUGUGUUAGAUUGAAUAGAUGAAUCCGAGAUUGUGUGAUGCAUAUCGUAUAAUUAUACCCACGUAUACUUGAGGUGACAUUGGAGUAUCUAGGUGACAUUAGGGUUUUGGUUGAUAUGUGUCUUAAGGUGUUAUUCUAGUACGAACUCUUGAAUAGAUCGAUCCGAAAGAAUAACUUUGAGGUGGUUUCGUACCCUACAAUAAUCUCUUCGUUUGUUCUACGCUAUUAGUGACUUUGGAGUGACUCUUUGUUGCAUGUUGAGGGAUUGUUAUAUGAUCUAAUUAUGUUAUUAUUGUCGAGAGAACUUGCACUUGUGAAAGUAUGAACCCUAGGCCUUGUUUCCUAGCAUUGCAAUACUGUUUACGCUCACUUUUAUCAUUAGUUACCUUGCUGUUUUUAUAUUUUCAGAUUACAAAAACCUAUAUCUACCAUCCAUAUUGCACUUGUAUCACCAUCUGUUCGCCGAACUAGUGCACCUAUACAAUUUAUCAUUAUAUUGGGUGUGUUGGGGACAGAAGAGACUCUUUGUUAUUUGGUUGCAGGGUUGCUUGAGAGAGACCAUCUUCAUCCUACGCCUCCCACGGAUUGAUAAACCUUAGGCCAUCCACUUGAGGGAAAUUUGCUACUGUCCUACAAACCUCUGUACUUGGAGGCCCAACAAUGUCUACAAGAAGAAGGUUGCGUAGUAGACAUCAAGCUCUUUUCUGGCACCGUUGCCGGGGAGGUGAGUGCUUGAAGGUAUAUCUUUAGAUCUUGCAAUUGAAUCUUUUAGUUUAUUGUUUUAUCACUAGUUUAGUCUAUAAAAGAAAACUACAAAAAAAAUGGAAUUGAGGGUGCCUCAUAUGCUUCAUCUUUUUAAUAUCUUUCAUGAAAAUAAGGAUUUCGAUAAUUGUGCUCAAUUGCUAGAGGAAGAAUGCAUUAGGAUGUUUGGCACUAAUUCUUUGAAUGAUGAGCAUGAUUGCAAUGUUGUUAGUAUGAACUCCUUGAAUAUCCAUAGUACUAAUGAUGAUUGCACUAGUCAUGAUGAAAAUGUCUCUUAUAAGAUGUCAACUUUUGUGGAGUGCAUAGAGUUUGCAAGUACACACCAAAUAGGGAAGAUAGAUUUUGCAAGAGGCAUAAGUAUUUAGAAACUAAAUGGUUGCAAGAGAGGCUAGAUGUUUGUGCUGAAAAUUUAAAAUUUCUUUGCCAUACUUGUGAACUUUGCAAUGAACAUGGUCCUUUAAAUCUCCAAUGCAAAUUGUUUCAUGAUCGUAUCGUGUCCAAAAAUUGUGAUGAUUUGAUUUCCCUUGCACAUCAUAAUGAACUUAGUUUGCUUUUGGGUUAUGAAGAAAUGAAAUCUAUAACUAAGCAUAUUCUAGAAUUUAACCUUGAGAAAUUCCUCGAUAUUGAUCUAGAAGAAAUUUAUAUGUAUUGUGCGGUGAAUUGCAUUGAAAAUCCUUAUAUUGCCAAUUACAUAAAGAAAAGAAAACAAAUAUAAGAUGAAGAGAACACUAAUGAAAGGGAAGAGGCUUCCCAAUAUUCUGCUAUUAUUUCUUAUGAUGAAUCAGGUAACGAGGAGGAGCCUUCUAUUCAACCAAUCUCAUUAAUAAGGAGCUCCAAAAAGAGGAUUAAACCCACGCAUGAUGUGAAGAAGAAAAAGAAAAGACGGAGAAGCAAAGGUAAAAAGGUAUCCCUCCCAAAUGAUGUUGCUCCUAUUACUCAUUGUGAUGAUGAUAAUUGCUAUACUAUUGGUGCUAUCCAUACUAUUAAUGAUGAGAGUUAUUAUGCUUAUGAUAUGAAAAGACCCAAGCUUGGGGAUGCCAUGUUUGAUGAGAAAGACAAAUUUGAGAAUUUAUUUGCUGCAAUUAAUGAUUGUCCCAAGCUUGGGGAUGCUAUGUUUAAUGAAGAUGAUAUUUUUAGCCUCCCAUGUUUUGAUGAGCAAAUUUAUAAUGAUGAUAGCAUGCCUCCUACUUAUGAUGAUUAUAUUCAUGAAAGUGGGUUUGGAAGAGUGUCAACUUUAGGAAGUAAUGAUCUCACUAUUUUGGAGGAUGUUGAAUAUUAUUGUGAUAAAUAUGAAAGUGGAUUUGGAGAGGUCAUGACUUUAUUUAGUGAUGAUUCCACUAUCUUGGAAGAGGUUUCAAUCGAUUAUGAUGAGAACAAAGUUGCUACUUAUGAUAAUUAUUGUGAUGAUACGUAUGCUAUAAAAAGUAGUGAUUAUUAUAUUUAUAAAACUUGUCAUGAUUAUGAUUACCCUUUUUCUGAACAUUACUCUUUUAAUGUGGAAACAAUUUAUAGUAUUCGAGUCUCUUAUGAUACUCCCACUAUUCUGAAUGAGAAGAAUUUUGCUUAUGUGGAGAGUAAUAAAAUUUCUAUGCUUGUAGAUCAUGAAAAGAAUGCUUUAUGUGAUGUUUAUAUUGUUGAAUUCAUUCAUGAUGCUACCGAAAAUUAUUAUGAGGGAGGAAUAUAUGCUUGUAGGAAUUGCAAUAAUAUCAAGUUUCCUCUCUAUGUGCUUAAAGUUUUGAAGUUAUGCUUGUUUCGCCUUCCUAUGCUAGUUGAAUAUUGUUCCCAUAAAUUGUUUGUUCACAAAGUCCCUAUGCAUAGGAAGUGGGUUAGACUUAAAUGUGCUUGCCAUGUGUUUCAUGAUGCUCUCUUUAUGUUUCAAUUCUUAUCUUUUAUGUGAGCAUCAUUGAAAUCAUCAUGCCUAGCUAGGGGCGUUAAACGAUAGCGCUUGUUGGGAGGCAACCCAAUUUUAUUUUUGUUUCUGUUUAGUAAUAAAUAUUUGAUCUAGCCUCUGGUUAGAUGUGGUUUUAUGUUUUAAUUAGUGUUUGUGCCAAGUAAAACCUAUAGGAUCUUCUUGGAUGAUAGUUAUUUGAUCUUGCUGAAAAAAAUCAGAAACUUUCUGCUCACGAAAACAAUUAUUAAAAAUAACCAGAAAGUGAUAAAAUACUGAUUCCAAUUGCAGUAGAUAAAUAAUCAAAUUAUAUAGGUCUUCCUAUUUUGGCAGAUUUUUCUGAGUUCCAGAAGUUUGCGUUUGAUACAGAUUACUACAGACUAUUGUGUUUUUGACAGAUUCUGUUUUCUUUGUGUUGUUUGCUUAUUUUGAUGAACCUAUGAGUAGUAUCGGAGGGUAUGAACCAUAGAUAAGUUGGAAUACAGUAGAUAUUACACCAAUAUGAAUUUAGAAUGAGUUCACAACAGUACCAAAAGUGGUGAUUUAUUUUCUUAUACUAACGGAGCUUACGAGUUUUCUGUUGAGUUUUGUGUUGUGAAGUUUUCAAGUUUUGGGUAAAGAUUCGAUGGACUAUGGAAUAAGGAGUGGCAAGAGCCUAAGCUUUGGGAUUCCCAACGCACCCCAAGGUAAUAUUCAAGGACAACCAAGAGCCUAAGCUUGGGGAUGCCCCGGAUGGCAUCCCCUCCUUCGUCUUCGCUCAUCGGUAACUUUACUUGUAGCUAUAUUUUUAUUCACCACAUGAUAUGUGUUUUGCUUGGAGCGUCAUUUUAUUUUGUUAGUAUUUGCUUGCUGUUAUUUAGAAUAAUGUUUUGCAUCUCUAGUUUCAAUAAAAAUGUCAAGGAUAGCUUUUACCAUGCUUAUUUUGCAAGUAUACAUGUUGCUGUUUCAAAACAGAAAGUUUAUCGAUGUUGCAAAAAUUCCCUAGAAAAGCCAGAAUAUGAUAAAAUGUUACUUUUUGCAUAAUAAGCUCUGAUAAAUUUACUACAGUGGGAAUGUUCUUUCAUAAUUUUUGGAGCUAGGGAAGUAUGGAUCUUGCUGCAUUCUUUACAGACUAUCCUGUUUAGGCAGAAUGAUGUUAUGUUUGCAUUGUUUGCUUGUUUAAUGAUUCUAUUUGAGGAUAGGACUAUUAAAUAUGAAGAGGCAUUUAGUAUGCAAUGUUGAAUAAUAAUUUUAGUGAUUUGCUACAUUAUAGUAUGAUAAGGUUUUUGCAUUGGUUUAUACUAACUUAUCUCACGAGUCCUUGUUGAGUUUUGUGUGGAUGAAGCUCUUGAGAUUUAGGGAGACCAUGAUAUGGGAGGAAUUAAGGAGACACAAAAGCUCAAGCUUGGGGAUGCCUAAGGCAUCCCAAGAUAAUAUUUCAAGAAGUCUCAAGCGUCUAAGCUUGGGGAUGCCCCGGUUGGCAUCCCACAUCUCUUCUUCAACAACUAUCAGUUAGUUUUGGUUGAUCCUAAGUUUUUGCUUCUUCACAUGAUGAGUGCCAUCCUUGAAAUAUCGUUUUAUUUUGUUUUUCUUGCUAUAUGAAUAAAAUACCAAGAUCUAAAAUUCUUAAAUGAGAGAGAGUCUUCACAUAGCUACAUAAUUAUUUAACUACUCAUUGAUCUUCACUUAUAUCUUUUUGGAGUAGUUUGUCAUUUACUCGUGUGCUUCACUUAUAUCCUAUGAGUAAAUGGUUGAACGAUUUGAAUGUCAUAAAUCUGAAAUUAUAUAUGUUUCAUAUGUCUUUCCCAUGGGGAGUAAUGCCUUCACAUAUAAGAAGUAGAGGUGGUAAAUUUUUUGAAGGUUAGCAAACAUAGUAUUGGUCACUUGAACAAUUCAUGAAAGAAUAUUGAAGGAAGAGAGAUUUCACAUAUAAAUAUACUAUCUUGGACAUCUUCUAUGAUUGUGAGCCCCAUUAGUUAUUGUCAAACCUGAGCAAAUUAGUUGAAGUUGGAUAAGGAAGACAACAUAAUGAGUUAUGCUUGGGUAUAUUUGUAUAGAAGUUAUGUUGUUAUGGAUCCUCUAACAUGUGGUGCUUGCUAUUUAGAAUCCUUUGCUAGCCAAAAUAUCUGUACUAAGCGGGAAUACUGCUUGUCCAUCCAAAUUCCUUGAACCAAGUUUAUACCAUGAGUGUCCACCAUAUCUACCUAUAUGCGGUAUUUACCUACCGUUCCAAGUAAAUUUGCAUGUGCCAAACUCUAAACCUUUAAAUAAUAAUCUGUUUUUGUCGGUGGGAACGACACCUAUGGGGUCACUGGGAUCCCUUCAACGGUCGGCGGGCGCGAGGUUGUGCAACGAGCAGGUCUGACAGGAAGCACACGGGUCGUUUACCCAGGUUCGGGCCACGAAGAUGCGUAAUACCCUAGUCCUGCUUUGGUGGAUGUAUUGAGUGUUCUUGUGUUCUUGAGCUAGCUACGGAGUGCAACUUGCCCAAAAGAGCCGAAUCCUUCUCCUGGUCGCCUCGGGCCUAAUUUUAUAGGCAAAAGGGGUCGCCACAGUGGCACACAGGAGGUGGAAAGGUGUACAGUGGAUGAGCCUAUCCUCUGGGACCGUCGGACAAACGCAUUUAAUGCGCUGCCGACGUGCCCCCCUUGCAUUAUCGGGGACGACAAGGAAGCACGUCCCAGCUGUCGCCGCCUCGCCUGGCCUCGACACGCGUCCGAGCUGAUGAGCCUUCGUGGCGCCAUGUUGGCUGGCUGCUAGGCUGGCGCGGUGGUGGAGCCUUCACGAAGGGUUGCAUGCCACCACGCAGGUGCUUGCUGAGUCGGUGUAGAGGCCGCCCAUCGCCACGCAGGUGCCUGCCCAGCUGGUUGAGCUAGUAGCUGCUUGGGGACGGUGGUGGAGUCUUGGCUGGUGCGGGCCUGGCAGUGGCCCCGCUGAUGCUCUCGGCAAGGGUCUAGCCGAGGGCCCGACAAGGGUCUUGCCAUGGCAUUGCAGUCGUCCCCGGCAAGGCGCUUGCCGGGGGUCUUGUGGAUUUCCUCGGCCAGGGUCCCGCCGAGGGUCGUCAUCUUCUGGUCCUCAUCUGAUCUCAUGUGUUUAUGAUCUUGACAAAGAUCUGCAUGCCACCACGGAGGUGCCUCCUGAGCCUUGGUUCCAAUGUAGUUGUUGGCCGUGUUUGGAACUCCAGGGCUCAAGGGUGGCUCGCUCUGUUGGUGUUGCGAAAGUUGCCCCGACAAGGCUCUUGCCGGGGCUGCGGAGGUCGCCCCGGCAAGGCUCUUGCCGGGGCCGCGGAGGUCGCCCCAGCAAGGCUCUUGCUGGGGCCGUGGAGGUCGCCCCGACAAGGGUCUUGCCGGGGGAGUCUACCUCACCCUUCUGCUCUUUGUAUCUCUGGUCUUGGCGUUGCCUUGGGUCUCCUUGUGCUUCGGCUUCUCUCCGGCUUCCCUCCUCUGCCUUGUUAAGUGUGGCCGCGGGCGCGGCUCUGACUGCCCGUGCACAAGUUAAGGGGUCAAAAGGAGAGCCGCUAAUUUUGUACACCGACAGGAGCCCCGGGCCUGGGCCACACAUAAGCGCGACGCGUUGUUGGGCGAGGCCCAGAACGGUGCGCGGGCAGGUGGGGCGGAUUUUUACUGUAGUAACUGUUUCGUCCGCUGCGCUUCCCCACGACCCACGUUGAACGCGCAACGUGGAGGGUCGUGCGUGAGUGGGGGUCAUGCGUGGGGCGGUUCCCGCACGCAUCCGUCACGUCGCAGUUAAUGGGAAAAGAGGCGGCCCGCGCCUUCCCCGUAAAAAGGAAUAACCGCGGGCGCGCUGCUCCUUUACCCUCCGUGCUUUCCCCAAUCUCGGAACCGCAGUCCCCUUCUUCCUCCAUCUCAAGCUCUUGCCUUCGCUCGCCGCUGCAGCGCCUUCGCCAUCCUUCGUUCCUCGCCUCCCGCAGCCGCCAUGGCACCCAAGACCAGCAGAGGCAAGGGAGUGGCCAAGGAUGCCGGGACGAACGAGCCGCCGGAGAGCAAGUUGGCGGUGUGGCGGACGCAGUCCGCCUACUUCCCCACGGCGGUCGACGCAGUCCACCUCCGGGACUNNNNNNNNNNNNNNNNNNNNNNNNNNNNNNNNNNNNNNNNNNNNNNNNNNNNNNNNNNNNNNNNNNNNNNNNNNNNNNNNNNNNNNNNNNNNNNNNNNNNNNNNNNNNNNNNNNNNNNNNNNNNNNNNNNNNNNNNNNNNNNNNNNNNNNNNNNNNNNNNNNNNNNNNNNNNNNNNNNNNNNNNNNNNNNNNNNNNNNCACUCUGCCACGCGCGUCAUCCCUGCUGCCUUCGCCGAGGCUGGCCCGAAUCGGUACCCGUUCUUCGUCGACUACUUUUCUUGCGGCCUCUGCCCCCCCUUCUCGGAUUUCUUCAGCGACAUCAUGCAAACCUACGGCUUCCACCUUCUGGAUUUUACGCCAAAUGCCAUGGCAUGAAUGGCUCUUUUUGCGCACCUCUGCUAGGGCUUCAUCGGGGUGCAUCCCAACACGGCGCUCUUCCGCCAUUACUUCUUCCCUCGGAUCCAAAAGCGGGGCGCCAUCUCUAGUUGUGUCGCCUGGAUCCCAAGGUCUAAGGGGACAUACCCGGAGGGCACUCAGAAGGAGAGGUGGGAGGAGUGGCGGGGCCGGUGGUGCUGGAUUGAGGGGGAGGAUCCACCAGCAUUCUGCAAGGUUCGGCAGGCGCCGCCGGUUCGCCGAAGUGACUGGAGCGAUGUCGACACCGACGACGCGAAGCUCACGGUCGCCACCACCACGAUUCUUCGCCUCACCGAGGCCGGGCUCACCCUUGAGAUGAUCGGGGCGGAUUUCAUCCGCCGCGGAAUCGCUCAGCUGCACAACAAGGAGAGGCCGGCCUGACGAAUGCGGCCGACAUCAUGAGGCGUCGCCCUGGCUUGGACCACAACCUCACGGUGAUGGGGCACGCUCACUUCUGUCAGCGGCUCUUCCAGUUCGACGUGAACCGCGACGGCAAGGUCGAGCAGUCCCGCAAGGCCGCGAAGGCCCGCAAGGUCGCCAAGGGGCCCUUGUUUAAGUUGCCGGCGGGGGUGGUCCCGCUGAGCAACAACUCGCGUCAAAACGACAUCAUCGCCAUGAUGCCGGAGUUCAAUGCGCACGGCCUCGUCCCAAAUUGGGCCAAGCCGCCGGAGGAUCAGGUGCAGGAGUUUUUUGACACCCUAGAGGAGAAGUACGUCCGCAAUGAGCCGCGGCUCGUCCAGGACACUACCCAGGCGGAGCUGGACUACAUUGCCGCCAGGGCGGCCGAGGCGGAGCUCGCCAAGGAGGCCGACAGCACCGGCGGCGUGGAGGAUAAGUCCGCGGCGGCCGCGGAGGAGAAGGAGCUUGCCCAGUGGGCGGAGUCCGCUGGGGAAGCCAGCAGCACCGGCACCGGGGCACCUCUCGCUGAAGAUGUGGUCGACGAGUCGUCGUCGGAGGAGGCCGAGGCUGUUGACCCUCCGGUCACGGGGAGAGGGCGAGUCCUGCGGCGGGCCACCUCUGGCGAGCCGGUCCGGCCCGGCAGGGCCGUACAACCACGACAAGCCCAGGAGGGGUCCGCGCGCCAGACAAGGGCCGCGCCGGCGAAGAAGUUGGUGAAGGCCGCGGUGGCGAAGAAGAAAGCAACUGCCUCUUCUUCGUCCAAGCGUCCUCGGACUCCAUCAGCUUCCCCUCCUCCGGCAGAUGUUGACGCGGAGGUCAUCUUCGAUUUUGGGUCCCUCAGCCCAAGGAGGAAGAGGAAGGCAACAGAGGAGGAGGUGGAGGACGAGUAAGUGUCUUGUCCCUUUCUGUCAUCUCUGUCCCCUCAGACCAUGCCACUUAUCUUGAUUCUUUUUCAUCUUUGCAGGGAUGCGGAGACGCUGGCCCAGAGGGUGAAAAGGGCCAGGGCUUCGGCGGGCGGCCAGCCCCCGGCAGGCGCUUUCGGCACACCGCUGGUGGUGUUGAGCAGCCCGGAUACCAGCCCUCGGCACAGCCCCCAGCGUAAGUUCAUCACUCGCCCUUCGUCAACGUGUGUUGGGGGCACGAUCCCUUGGUGCUGACGUUGCUGUGAUUGCAGGAGGAGGACAGCAGCAGGAGGAGCCAUAGAGGGCUACCCCCAACACGCCGCCCCCAUCGACCACGCCGCCCCGAGGGGCGUCCCCGGCAAGGGCGCCAAGCACCGAGCCCAUGCACACGGAGGAGGAGGAGGCGAACUCGAGCGCUGGUGGCUUCGCCUCGGUGCCAAAUGUUGGCGGGGAGGGGACCUCUGCUUCCCAGCCCGACACGGGUAAGUCACUUGCCUUCCGUCCCUGUUCUUUCUGAAUCUUGGUCUCGGCUUUGCUUCAUCCCGUUCUCAAUAUCCAGAUCCUCCGUCGGCGGGCCAGGAGGACAUAGACACCGUCAUCGAGGAUGUCGUCAAGGCCGUCGAGGCGGAGGCCGAGAAGAUCGCCGCUGAGGAGGCCGCCAAGGGCGCUGCUGAGGAUGCCGCCAAGGGGCCUAUCGGGGAGCCCGACAAGGGGCCUGCCGGGGAGGCCGGCAAGCCUGCUGCCGAGGAGGAGGUGGUUGAUGACCAGCCGUCCUCCUCUGCUGCCUCUAGCUCUGGCAGGUAUCUGAAGGUGAGCGACGACUUUUUCGUCCACCUUCCAGGGACGUCGAGCUCCAGGGCUCCCAUCGAGGGAGAGGUGUUCGACGAGGAGGUGCUUGCCACCGCUGGGCUCGAGGUUGUCGACGAGCCGAGCGCCAGUGGCGACGGUUCUUAAGAGGAGCGGCUUCUCCAGGCCAUGGGUGCCAGCUUUCGGAAGCUCCAGGCGAUCCACCGCGCCCGCCUGGACAAGGCCAAGUCUAGGAUGGCAACGGUGGACAAGGCGGAGGCGGACCUCAAGGGACGCGUCCCCGAGGCGCAGACUUGGUUCCGCCAACCGUGUGAGGAGCCGAAGGCCGCCCAGGGCGAGCUGGCCAAGCGCGAGGUGGAGCUCACCAUGAAGCGGGCCGACAUCGAGAAGGCCCAGGAGACGGCGAAGAACCUGGCCGCCGAAGCCGAGGCCGCUCGAACCUAGCACCAGGCCACGCUGAACUCCCAGGAGGAGGACCUUGCCGCGCGUGAGGAGAAGCUUGCCGCAACGCUCCGCGGCAUGGAUGAGGAGGUGGAGAAGCUCGUCGUGCAGCGGACCCAGGAGCUGGAGCAGAGGCACGGAGAGGCACUCAAUGCCCAGGCUCUGGUUCACGCCGACAAGGUGAACGAGCUGGAGGUGGAGCGGGACGGGCUGAAAGACCAGGUCCUGAAGCUAUCCAAGGAGAAGUACACGCUCAACAGCGCUCUGGUUGAGGCGCAGGGCGCGGCCCUCAGCAGGGUUGGGCAGCUCUCCGAGGCCGACAACUCCAUCAAAGACCUCAAGCUGAAGCUGGAGGGUCUCGAGGGGAUGCUGUCGGAGGGCAGGGCCCAGGAGGAGGCCCUGGCCAAGGACCUAGAGACCGAGAAGCAGUUGCGGAAGGACGAGACCGCCAACCACAAAGACUUUGUGGAGGGUGAGAAUCGCUAGAUCGGGCGCCUCGAAGGCGUCGCCGGCAGGAUCACCAUGCAGCUGGCUACCAUGGGGAUGCCAAAUGUGAGGUAUACCCCGGAGCGCAACGUGAGCCCCAACGCCAAGCUGACCAUCUUCUUCGAGGGCGUCCUCGGGGCCCUGGAGCAGCUCCACUCCAAUCGGGGGCCUCCCUGGCCGACGAGGCCCGGAGGCUUUGCCGGGGUGCCAUGACCAAGGUCCUCACCAAGGUGGCGCACUGGAAUCCUGACCUCGACUUCGACGCCGCGCAGGAGAGCUUGCCGGAGGAUGCGGACAUCGCGGCACUCAAGGAGCGUAUCAAGCCCAUCAUCAGCCGCAUCGAUGGAAUCUAGAGGUUGGAGGGCCAGCGCCGGGAUUAGGCACCCCGUUUCUCAUUGCCGCUGCAGGUUCAUGACCAAGACAAUUUCUAUCUUUAGUUAGAACCGCGGCAACAACUGAUGUAAUAUAAUUCCGUAGUACUUUUGAUACGAUGCAUGUUGUUUUCCUGUCUGAUCUUCCCUUGUAUGUCCGCCCUACGUUAACCGGGUAGGCUCGCCGGCGCGUAAACCCAGGGCGGCACCUUGGGGACGGAUCCCCAAUGGCCUGCCGGGUGUGCUUGCUGCCGAGCGAACCACCUUACCGCUCUCAACGCGGCCGCUCGAACUGUCGAGCUUGACUCGAGUUAGAAUCGAGAGCGUUGCCAAUUGCGGAAGGCUACCCUGCCACUCUCGACGUGGCCGCUCGAGCUGUUGAGCAGACUCGAAACAGAACAAGGGCGUUGCCAAUUGCGGAAGGGCCCCUUUGCGUGUAGGUUUUCCACACACAGGACAGGACCUUCGAGGAUAAUAACCAUAUAUAAAAAAGAAAUUGCCCAAAGUUUCUCAUGACUUAGCUUUUCUGUCGUUGUAAGGGCGCCCACCGCAUCCGCAGACGGCGCCGUCAUACUUGGUUGUCCUCUUCCUUGGAACGAUGGCCACGAUGAAGCCGCUGCUUCGAUUAGACCAGAUUUUCACAACUGCGCCCCCUACCUGGCGCGCCAAAUAUGUCGGUGGGAACGACACCUAUGGGGUCACUGGGAUCCCUUCUACGGUCGGCGGGCGCGAGGUUGUGCAAAGAGCAGGUCUGACAGGAAGCACACGGGUCGUUUACCCAGGUUCGGGCCGCGAAGAUGCGUAAUACCCUAGUCCUACUUUGGUGGAUGUAUUGAGUGUUCUUGUGUUCUUGAGCUAGCUACGGAGUGCAACUUGCCCAAAAGAGCCGAAUCCUUCUCCUGGACGCCUUGGGCCUCCUUUUAUAGGCAAAAGGGGUCGCCACAGUGGCACACAGGAGGUCAAAAGAUGUAUAGUUGAUGAGCCUAUCCUCUGGGACCGUCGGACAAACGCAUUUAAUGUGCUGCCGACGUGGCCCCCUUGCUUUAUCGGGGACGGCAAGGAAGCACGUCCCAGCUAUCGCCGCCUCACCUGGCCUCGACACGCGUCCGAGCUGAUGAGGCGUCAUGGCGCCAUGUUGGCUGGCUGCUGGGCUGGCGCGGUGGUGGAGCCUUCAUGAAGGGUUGCAUGCCACCACGCAGGUGCUUGCUGAGUCGGUGUAGAGGCCGCCCGUCGCCACGCAGGUGCCUGCCCAGCUGGUUGAGCUAGCAGCUGCUUGAGGAUGGCGGUGGAGUCUUGGCUUGUGCGGGCCUGGCAGUGGCCCCGCUGAUGCCCUCGGCAAGGGUCUUGCCGGGGCCCGGCAAGGGUCUUGCCGUGGCGUUGCAGUCGCCCUCGGCAAGGCGCUUGCCGGGGGUCUUGUGGAUUUCCUCGGCCAGGAUCCCUCCGAGGGUCGUCGUCUUCUGGUCCUCAUCUGAUCUCAUGUGUUUAUGAUCUUGACAAAGAUCUGCAUGCCACCACGGAGGUGCCUCCCGAGCCUUGGUUCCAAUGUAGUUGUUGGCCGUGUUUGGAACUCCUGGGCUCAAGGGUGGCUCGCUCUGUUGGUGUUGGGCAAGUUGCCCCGGCAAGGGUCUUGCCGGGGGAGUCUACCUCACCCUUCUGCUCUUUGUGUCUCUGGUCUUGGCGUUGCCUUGGGUCGCCUUGUGCUUCGACUUCUCUCCGGCUUCCCACCUCUGCCUUGUUAAGUGUGGCCGCAGGCGCGACUCUGACUGCCCGUGCACAAGUUAAGGGGUCAAAAGGAGAGCCCCUACUUUUGUACACCGACAGUUUUGUAUGCCCGAAUCUCUCAUGUAGCGACUAGGGGCUGUCAGUAUCUUCCAUGCUAGGUGGGUUAUUCUCACGAUGAGUGGACUCCGCUCAUCAUUCACGAGAAAAUGGCUGGUAACUGGGAUGCCCAGUCCUAAGAUCAAAAGAUAAAAAACAAAUUCGCAAAUAAUUUAAACAAACUCCCCCAGGAUUGUUGAUAGUUGGACGGCACCCGUUGUUUCGGACAAGCCGUGGAGCGUGAUUGUUGGUGGAGGGGGAGUAAAAUCUUUACCUUUCUGUUUGGGAACCGCCUAUAAUGUAUGUAGUAUGGAAGAUAUUGGGAACUCUUGGUCGUUAUGUCGACAAUGAAAGCAUACCUCUCAAAAUUAUUUUCAUCUCUGUUUUAGCUUCGAGCUCUGGCACCUCUGCAAAUCCCUACUUCCCUCUGCGAAGGGUCUAUCUUUUACUUUUAUGCAAGAGUCAGUAGUAUUCCUUCUCAUUCCAACCUACUCUUUAGUUGGCAAGCAUCAUGUGUUGGGGAAAGAUCUAAGCAUAUAUGGCCAUUCAAAUAUAUUUGAUCAUGAAUUAUUAUUGUUGACAAUAUUCUAUAUGAUAAAUAAGUUGGGAGGCGAAACAUUAAGCCCCUAUCUUUCUUUGUGUUCGAUGGAUGCUAUUUGCUCUAAAAAUAUGCUUUGAGUGGUAGCAAUCAUGGAAGACUAUAUGAUAGUUGAGUAUGUGGGAUUUGCUAAAUCAAAGCUCUUACAUAGACCCUUCCUGAAAAUAAGAUGAAUUGAAUUGUUUGAUGACUGAGAACAUAGUUUGUUAGUUUUCAAGAAAGUUUAUGGUCUAUACUUUAACAUGUGAAUAGCUUGUUACUUGGUCAUGAAAAGUUUUAUGAGUUGAGCUACUGUUAUGACAUAUAAUGAUGCUAGAAAAGGUGAUUGAAAUUAUCAUUGAUCAAACUUGUGCACCUGCUAGCAUUCACACUUCAUAAAUUAUCUCUUUUAUCAUUUACCUACUCGAGGACAAGCAGGAAUUAAGCUUGGGGAUGCUGAUACGUCUCCAACGUAUCUAUAAUUUAUGAAGUAUUCAUGCUAUUAUAUAUUCUGUUUUGGAUGUUUAAUGGGCUUUAUUAUACACUUUUAUAUUAUUUUUGGGACUAACCUAUUAACCGGAGGCCCAGCCCAAAUUGAUGUUUUCUUGCCUAUUUCAGUGUUUCGAAGAAAAGGAAUAUCAAAUGGAGUCCAAACGGAAUGAAACCUUUGGGAGAGUUAUUUUUGGAACGGAAGCAAUCCAGGAGACUUGGAGUAGACGACAGGGAAGCUUCGAGGAAGCCACGAGGCAGGGAGGCGCGCCCUACCCCCUGGGCCCACCCCUACCCUCGUGGGCCCCUCGUGGCUCCCCUGACCGACUUCUUUCGCCUAUAUAUGUCCAUAUACCCUAAAAACAUUGAGGAGUAGAAUAGAUCGUGAGUUCCACCGCCGAAAGCCUCUGUAGCCACCAAAAACCAAUCGGGACCUUGUUCCGGCGCCCUGCCGGAGGGGGGAUCCCUCACCGGCGGCCAUCUUCAUCAUCCCGGCACUCUCCAUGACGAAGAGGGGGUAGUUCACCCUCAGGGCCGAGGGUAUGUACCAGUAGCUAUGUGUUUGAUCUCUCUCUCUCUCUCGUGUUCUUGAUUUGGCACGAUCUUGAUGUAUCGCGAGCUUUGCUAUUAUAGUUGGAUCUUAUGAUGUUUCUCCCCCUCUACUCUCUUGUAAUGGAUCGAGUUUUCCCUUUGAAGUUAUGUUAUCGGAUCGAGUCUUUAAGGAUUUGAGAACACUUGAUGUAUGUCUUGCAUGUGCUUAUCUGUGGUGACAAUGGGAUAUUGACGUGAUCUGCUUGAUGUAUGUUUUGGUGAUCAACUUGCGGGUUCAGUGACCUUGUGAACUUAUGCAUAGGGGUUGGCACACGUUUUCGUCUUGACUCUCCGGUAGAAACUUUGGGGCACUCUUUGAAGUUCUUUGUGUUGGAUUGAAUAGAUGAAUCUGAGAUUGUGUGAUGCAUAUCGUAUAAUCAUACCCACGGAUACUUGAGCUGACAUUGGAGUAUCUAGGUGACAUUAGGGUUUUGGUUGAUAUGUGUCUUAAGGUGUUAUUCUAGUACGAACUCUUGAAUAGAUCGAUCCGAAAGAAUAACUUUGAGGUGGUUUCGUACCCUAUAAUAAUCUCUUCGUUUGUUCUAUGCUAUUAGUGACUCUCUGUUGCAUGUUGAGGGAUUGUUAUAUGAUCUAAUUAUGUUAUUAUUGUCGAGAGAACUUGCACUAGUGCAAGUAUGAACCCUAGGCCUUGUUUCCUAGCAUUGCAAUACUGUUUACGCUCACUUUUAUCAUUAGUUACCUUGCUGUUUUUAUAUUUUCAGAUUACAAAAACCUAUAUCUACCAUCCAUAUUGCACUUGUAUCACCAUCUGUUCGCCGAACUAGUGCACCUAUACAAUUUAUCAUUAUAUUGGGUGUGUUGGGGACAGAAGAGACUCUUUGUUAUUUGGUUGCAGGGUUGCUUGAGAGAGACCAUCUUCAUCCUACGCCUCCCACGGAUUGAUAAACCUUAGGCCAUCCACUUGAGGGAAAUUUGCUACUGUCCUACAAACCUCUGUACUUGGAGGCCCAACAAUGUCUACAAGAAGAAGGUUGCGUAGUAGACAUCAAGCUCUUUUCUGGCACCGUUGCCGGGGAGGUGAGUGCUUGAAGGUAUAUCUUUAGAUCUUGCAAUUGAAUCUUUUAGUUUAUUGUUUUAUCACUAGUUUAGUCUAUAAAAGAAAACUACAAAAAAAAUGGAAUUGAGGGUGCCUCAUAUGCUUCAUCUUUUUAAUAUCUUUCAUGAAAAUAAGGAUUUCGAUAAUUGUGCUCAAUUGCUAGAGGAAGAAUGCAUUAGGAUGUUUGGCACUAAUUCUUUGAAUGAUGAGCAUGAUUGCAAUGUUGUUAGUAUGAACUCCUUGAAUAUCCAUAGUACUAAUGAUGAUUGCACUAGUCAUGAUGAAAAUGUCUCUUAUAAGAUGUCAACUUUUGUGGAGUGCAUAGAGUUUGCAAGUACACACCAAAUAGGGAAGAUAGAUUUUGCAAGAGGCAUAAGUAUUUAGAAACUAAAUGGUUGCAAGAGAGGCUAGAUGUUUGUGCUGAAAAUUUAAAAUUUCUUUGCCAUACUUGUGAACUUUGCAAUGAACAUGGUCCUUUAAAUCUCCAAUGCAAAUUGUUUCAUGAUCGUAUCGUGUCCAAAAAUUGUGAUGAUUUGAUUUCCCUUGCACAUCAUAAUGAACUUAGUUUACUUUUUGGUUAUGAAGAAAUGAAACGUAUAACUAAGCAUAUUCCAGAAUUUAACCUUGAGAAAUUCCUCAAUAUUGAUCUAGAUGAAAUUUAUAUGUAUUGUGCGGUGAAUUGCAUUGAAAAUCCUUAUAUUGCCAAUUACAUAAAGAAAAUCAAACAAAUAGAAGAUGAAGAGAACAUUAAUGAAAGGGAAGAGGCUUCCCAAUAUCCUCCUAUUAUUUCUUAUGAUGAAUCAGGUAACGAGGAGGAGCCUUCUAUUCAACCAAUCUCAUUAAUAAGGAGCUCCAAAAAGAGGAUUAAACCCACACAUGAUGUGAAGAAGAAAAAGGAAAAGACGGAGAAGCAAAGGUAAAAAGGUAUCCCUCCCAAAUGAUGUUGCUCCUAUUACUCAUUGUGAUGAUGAUAAUUGCUAUACUAUUGGUGCUAUCCAUACUAUUAAUGAUGAGAGUGAUUAUGCUUAUGAUAUGAAAAGGCCCAAGCUUGGGGAUGCCAUGUUUGAUGAGAAUGACAAAUUUGAGAAUUUAUUUGCUACAAUUAAUGAUUGUCCCAAGCUUGGGGAUGCUAUGUUUAAUGAUAUUUCAUUUAUCUGAACAUUCAUGCCACAAUAAAGAGAAUUACAAUGAAAAUUAUGUUAGGUAGCAUUCCACAACAAAAAUUCUGUUUUUAUCAUUUACCUACUCGAGGACGAGCAGGAAUUAAGCUUGGGUAUGCUUGAUACUGAUACGUCUCCAACCUAUCUAUAAUUUUUGAUUGUUCCAUGUUAUUAUAUUAUCUAUUUUGGAUGUUUAAUGGGCUUUAAUAUACUCUUUUAUAUUGUUUUUGGGACUAACCUAUUAACUGAAGGCCCAGUGCAAAUUGCUGUUUUUUUUGCCUAUUUCAGUGUUUCGCAGAAAAGGAAUAUCAAACGGAAUCCAAACGGAACAAAACCUUAGCGAGGAUCUUUCUUGGAUCAAAUGCAAUCCAGGAGACUUGGAGUGUAAGUCAGAGACGCAACGAGGCAGCCACGAGGCAGGAGGGCGCGCCCAGGGGGUAGGCGCGCCCCCACCAUCUUGGGCCCCUCGUAGCUCCACCGACCUACUUCUUUCGCCUAUAUAUACUCUUAUACCUUGAAAACAUCCAGGGGAGCCACGAAACCACUUUUCCACCGCCGCAACCUUCUGUACCAGUGAGAUCCCAUCUUGGGGCCUUUUCCGGCAGUCUGUCGGAGGGGGAUUCGAUCACGGAGGGCUUCUACACCAACACCAUAGCCUCUCCGAUGAUGUGUGAGUAGUUUACCACAGACCUUCGGGUCCAUAGUUAUUAGCUAGAUGGCUUCUUCUCUCUCUUUGGUUCUCAAUACAAAGUUAUUCUCGAUGUUCUCGGAGAUCUAUUCGAUGUAAUACUUUUUGCGGUGUGUUUGUCGAGAUCCGAUGAAUCGUGGGUUUAUGAUCAAGAUUAUCUAUGAACAAUAUUUGAUUCUUCUCUGAAUUCUUAUAUGCAUGAUUUGAUAUCUUUGCAAGUCUCUUCGAAUUAUCGGUUUAGUUUGGCCUACUAGAUUGAUCUUUCUUGCAAUGGGAGAAGUGCUUAGCUUUGGGUUCAAUCCAGUGACAGAAAGGGAACCGACACGUAUUGUAUUGUUUCCAUCGAGGAUAAAAAGAUGGGGUUUAUAUCAUAUUGCUUGAGUUUAUCCCUCUACAUCAUGUCAUCUUGCCUAAUGCGUUGCUCCGUUCUUAUGAACUUAAUACUCUAGAUGCAUGCUAGAUAGCAGUCGAUGUGUGGAGUAAUAGUAGUAGAUGCAGAAUCGUUUCGGUCUACUUGACACGGACGUGAUGCCUAUGUUCAUGAUCAUGCCUAGAUAUUCUCAUAACUAUGCGCUUUUUUAUCAAUUGCUCGGCUGUAAUUUGUUCACCCACCGUAAUAUAUGCUAUCAUGAGAGAAGCCACUAGUGAAACCUAUGGCCCCCGGGUCUAUUUUACAUCAUAUUAAGUUUCCCAUCAAUUAGCUAUUUAUGUCGCCGUUUAUUUUGCAAUCUUUACUUUCCAAUCUAUACAACAAAAAUACCAAAAAAAAA